This 54787-nucleotide long non-coding RNA is filed under the name Linum usitatissimum (flax). Its description in RNAcentral is "long non-coding RNA (LUSI_LNC002709)". Lineage: Eukaryota; Viridiplantae; Streptophyta; Magnoliopsida; Malpighiales; Linaceae. The record is from RNAcentral.
AAGGAAUCCUAUGCAAUCCCAUUACACGCUAGCUGGCUUGUUUGGUAAUUUCCGGAACAUAGCAUCAAACCAGUCGAUGAAGCUAGUAAUUGAUUAGUGUAAAUAUGCAGCAUAGCAUCAAACCAUUGGAUUAUCACCAAGCAUGAUCAUAAGGAGGCAGUUGAUGUAUCAAGUUUCCAGAGAACAUAUAUAUAGAGGUAAAAUUACACAGGUGAAGAAGGAAAUGAUGAUGAUCAGUACUCCAAUUCGGUUCAGUGAACCAGAAGAAGAAACCUCCAGACACCAGAUGUGAUCAGAGAUGUUCUUCUUGAUUUUUAUAUAGUUUCGGAGCAGCAUCAUAGCUCAUAGCCUGGCGGAUGUGAGGCGAGGAGUGUCCCAAUCGGUAACGAUAUGGUCCCUAGUGAUUUCCUUGAGAGAACGGCAUCCGCUGAGCGCCAUUGUUAGCUCAAACUCCUCACGUAGCAUCUGAAGCACAUUCUUCACUCCAGCUUCUCCCUCAGCAGCCAACGAGAACACCACCGGUCGUCCAAUCUACAUUAGAAAAGUAGCGUGUUAAUGAAUAAUAUAAAACUCAAAGUUGAACAAGCAUUAUAUUCUGCGGUGUUAGAAACUACUCACGAAUAUGCCAGAGGCACCAAGUGCCAAUGCCUUGAAGACAUCUGUGCCACGCCUAACGCCACCAUCCAAGAACACCGGAAUCCGGCCUUGUGCACCUCUGUUCCCGUCGUCCAUCGCCGAUAUUGAGUUUCUAAGUUCCGCAGUUUUUUUCCAACUGAGAGAUUAACAAAGAGGGUUACUAAACCACCCCUGAUUUUCGAAUUAAACCCCUUACAUUCAUAAUGACCUAAACGUCCAUUUCGUAAAUGAAAAACUUACUAGUUCAAUUCAAAAACCCUUAUUUCGUAUGUUUUAGUAUGUUUUAGUUGGUCGAAAACACUCUCGACGAAUCACGGUUCAAAAUUGAAAAGGUAAAAAAUUGAAUUUUGGAUCUGAAAAAAAAAAAAUUCGUACGGACCAACCGGACGGAUCGAUUUUCCAUCCGGUGAGACUACCCAGACGGAACCUAUUUCCGUCCGGGUGGUCUGACCAGACGGAACGCCGUUUCGUCCGUUAAACAUAACAGACGGACUGACGUUCCGUCCGGUCAGUCUGGUUGGUCCGUCCAAAUUUUUUUUUUUUUAUAUCCAAAAUUCAAUUUCGUACCUUUCCAAUUUUGAGCCGUGGUUCGUCGAGAGUGUUUUCGACCAACUAAAAUAUACUGAAACAUACGAAAUAAGGGUUUUUUGGAUUGAACUAGUAAGUUUUUCAUGUUUUCGAAAUUUAUUAAUGAAUAAUUUAGUAAUUCACUAUUUUAGGGCGUCGUUUAAUUCGAAAAUUAGGGCUCGUUUAGGGAUUCAGUUAACAAAUUGAUACCGGGUUAAAAGCAUCGGAAUCACUCAAGUUUGGGUGUGUAACAUUUCAGUCAUUCAACUUUUCUUCGAACAUACUUAUGAUUCAAGUUUUAAGUAUAUAAAGAUUUGGUGAGUCCUUCCAUUUCCCUCCGAAAGUCCGUCAAUAAUCUGACGUGACUAACAGAUAUUCCGAUAGUUCGUCAAUCGGAAGCCGUGUAAUCAACUAUUGGUGUAGAUGGAUCGACCCUUUCACUUAUAACACGAUGUUUCGAAUUUGCUCAUAUUCAGAGGGGAUCUUUAGAUUUUCUGAAAGAGAAGGUAUCAUAGGGUAUCAAACUAUUGGUGUAACUGGAUAUACCAACAAUGCCAGUGGAGGAUGAGAUCACACACCGGCCAACGUAACAGUCUUCUGAGGUAUCCCGUUCUUCUGGUUCGUUGAAUGGUAAAUGCAUUGUUAAAGUUCAACAUAUUAAUCAAAGUGAAUCCCAAGCAAUCCCAUUACACACUAGCUGGCUUGUUUUGUAAUUUCCGGAACAUAGCAUCAAACCAGUUGAUGAAGCUAGGAAUUGAUUAGUAUAAACAUGCAGCAUAGUAUAUUAUCAAACCAUUGGAUUAUCACCAAAAGCAUGAUCAUAAGGAGGCAGUUGACAUAUCAAGUUUCCAGAGUGGGUAUAUAUAGAGGUAAAAUUACACAUGUGAAAAGGGAAAUGAUGAUGAUCAGUACUCCAAUUCGGUUCAGUGAACCAAAAGAAGAAACCUCCAGAGACCAGAUGUGAUCAGAGAUCUUCUUCUUCUUGAUUUUUAUAUAGUUUCGGAGCGGCAUCAUAGCUCAUAGCCUGGCGGAUGUGAGGCGAGGAGUGUCCCAAUCGGUAACGAUAUGGUCCCUUGUGAUUUCCUUGAGAGAACGGCAUCCGCUGAGCGCCAUUGUCAGCUCGAACUCCUCGCGUAGCAUCUGAAGCACAUUCUUCACUCCAGCUUCUCCUUCAGCAGCCAACGAGAAUACCACCGGUCGUCCAAUCUACGUAGUUAGAAAAAAUAGUGUGUUAAUGAAUAAUAUAAAACCAACGUUGAACAACUAAAUUGUGUGGUUUAGAAACGAAACGAAACUCACAAAUAUGCCAGAGGCACCAAGUGCCAAUGCCUUGAAGACAUCUGUGCCGCGCCUAACGCCACCAUCCAAGAACACCGGAAUCCGUCCUUGUGCACCUUUCACCACCUCCUCCAGGGCCCUGAUGGUGGAAGGCACAUAAUCGAGUUGGCGAGCACCAUGGUUUGACACUAUGAUCCCUGCUGCUCCAGCUUGCACUGCUAUUCUUGCUGUGUUUUUUUGCAGUAAAUAGGUCAUUAUCAAGCUCAGAAUUUGUUAUAUAUGUUCACUCGUAACAACAUGAACUUACCAUCUUCAGCUGUGAGGACACCCUUCACCAGAAUUGGCAUUGAGGUGAUUGUUUGAAGCCAUUGCACAUCCUGCAAAAGUCCAACUCAAAAAAACAUAUUAAUUCUGGGAAAAAAAUAUACUAAUGAUUAUGAAAUUACAAAGCAAGAUGAUUAAUUGACCUUCCAGCUGAGGGAGCGAUCAAUCUGGCCAGCAACGUAGGAUGCAAGCCCUGAGUCAUUGGCCUGCAACCAAUCAAUUUUGCACCAAAUGUCCAAACUUUUAAUCCUACAAUUGAAAACUUUUCACUUACCAAACCAAACCGUAAUAAUUACUUACCUCGUCCAUCUUGCCAAGGUUCAGGCCUUCAAAGUUCUUCAGUGUUAAGUUUGGUGGCAAUGUGAAUCUGCAAAACCAGAGAUAACCAACCUAAGUAUCGCAUUGAGCGAAUCAUCGUAGAGGAAUGCUAUAAAAUUUAUUUAUAAACCUCUCCCAACAGCUAUAGGUAUUGGGAGGCAACGGUUCUCUACGUGAUAUCAUAUCAUUUUCACUGUCCAAUUUGACACAGAGGUCUGCGGAUCAAAUCUUGACAGCCUCCAAUAUAACAAUUUCAUAUGCACACCAUAUUACGAUCCGAAUUGGUAUCAUGUAACAAAAUUUGUGGUCACAACGUGUGACGAAAAUUUCGAAAGUAACAAAUAUUCUAUUUUUAUUUUUCUCGGAAUGCCCGGAAUGUACCUGUUCUUGAUGUCAGCCUCUCUGCGGCCGAGCCUAGGGGUAUCAACAGUAAGAGCAAUGGCCUUGAAGCCAGCCUUCUCAGCUCUCCUCACCAGCUGAGCAACAACAUUCCUAUCUUUGUACACCUAUACCACAAUAUGCAACACAUAUAAAGUUAAGUGACCAAAUUGCAAUUGUCGCUGUAAUGGCCUUCUUCUUCAGUUAGAACUUUCUUACAUAAAGCUGGAAAAAACGGAUGCCAGGACCAGUGGAAGCAACCUCUUCCACACUUGAAGUAGCCCAUGAUGACAGUGUCUGUAAACAUAAACAAAUACAUAAACACCACAAAUUAAUCUAAUCAUAGUCACCAAAUUGGUACGAUAAUCUUUAGCAUGUGUGACACAUGAAAACUUUGCUAUAUGACCGGUUCAACGGGUGUAUUUUCAGAUUUUUUUCCCAUGUAAUCCAGAAUGUUUUUUGUAUUUUGGAAAAAAAUCUUACUUUUUACUCCACAAUUAUAAAGAUUUGUUUUUAGAUCAAACUACGAUUUUAUAAUUCUAUUUUUACGAUUAAAUCUUAAAUUGUUGGAUGCAGUUAUAGUGGUAGAAGCUUGGAAAGACAAACCAUGAUGGUUCCAGCAGCUGAUGCAGCUCUAGCAGUUGCAUAUUCCCCUGAACAUAAUAAUAUAUGUUAAAAUGAAUAAUAUAUAAAAUUAAUUUUGAAUUCUUUUUAAACAACUCGAGUUCUCCAAUUUAUGACAGAAUUAUAUAUGAUGACGCAGAGAGCAGAGUACCAUCAGGGUGAGCCAUUUUCUGAAAAGCAGUAGGAGCAAUCAUGAUAGGCAUGGAUAUCUUGAAUCCUAGCACAGUUGUUGUCAUGUCAAUCUUCGUCACAUCUAUCAGAAUCCUCGGUCGAAACCUGCACGUACCCAAAAACACUCAUGAAAACUGGCUCAAUUUCCAUCCAUGUAAACAAAAAGUAGUUCUAAAGAAACUAAACUCACAGGAUUCUGGCGAAGGCGUUCCUGUUCUCAGCAAGACUCCACUCAUCUUCAGCACCUGACGCAUAGUAAUCGUACGCCAUUUUCGGAAGCUUCUGCUUCGCGAUCGCCUGGUACUCGGUCACAUUUGUUACCACUGCCAUCUUUCUUUCUCUGCAAACUUGUGCUUUGUGACGACUUGAUUCCUUGCUAGCUAUGUACACCAGAUUGCUGGACAGCAGAAGAUGUUAGCCAGAAAGAUAAGGUGUGAAAUGAGCCCACUGGGAUGACCAUAUAUGUGAAGAUUUGGCUUACAGACAAAUUUUUCUUUUGUGUGGGCCUGAAAUUUGCAGAAAAAACCAGAAAAAUUAUGUGAGGGAGGGGGGAUUUUGAUCCUGUAGUGUGAGUGAGUAAUUGGGAUAAAAUCCUAUCAACUGAUCAGCCUUUGGUUGUCUAUCCUCCACAUAAAAAUUUGUGUUUCCACAGCCUUUUUCUGCUUCAUUAUCUUCUUCUUCUUCCUUCUGCUUCCAUAAUAGUUUCAGUGAGAAUUGACGGAAAGGCAUAAAGGAUUGCGAUUGGUUUGUUUGUUGGGCUUUCUCCAAACUGGAAAUUCAGAUGAUCUGUUAUCCAAGAGUACAUAUUAUUAUUAGGAGCUUGGCAAAUAUAUAUAUAUGGAGUGGUGCAAGUUCAGUUGAAAGCGGCGAAACCAGAAUGGAAAUAUGUAUUGAGUUGGAUUUAGAGUAUAGAAUUUUUGAUUGGAUAUUAAAGUUUGUGAUCGGUUAAUGAACCCGUUUUAACUUUUAAGAACUUGCCUUGUUAAUAUUGUGUCCAAGAACAUAGGUAAAAAAAUCAUUGUACCAAAUACUGAUCCGAGUUAAUGAAUUUAACCUAGUUUAUAAAAUGCAUUGGACCGACUUUGAGAAAACUACAAAUAUGUAUACGAUUUUGAUGUUUGAAAUCGAGAUAGUGGUGAGCUGAGACUCACAUAUCCCCUCGAUUCCGCCUCUAAUUUGAAACGUAACUUCAUGCUUCUUGAGUCAUUAAUUAUGAAUAUAGUGUAUAAUGUAGAUUUUCUUAUAAAUAUGGUAUCCGAUCUAUUGGCCGAUUAAUUCAGUUGAGGAUGAACCGAUUAAUCCAAUCGAGAAUGAUUUUAGAAUUAAGAUUUUACUCUUUUUUCAAUAUUAUUGUGGAAAUCGAACUUUAAUUCAUCCUUCCAAAUAAAUCUUUUGACAUCACUAGACGGCUCGUUGAUAAAGACAGUUAAGACUUAAAAAGAGGUACUAUAAUUAAAAAUGAGAGACGGGCUCAUGAGCUCUUUGACGGGGGAGAUGGGCUAUAGGCCCAACGGAUGAAGAGGUUGGCUUCAGAGCUUCUAAGUGGUAUGGGCCUCGAGCUAGCAUUAGUCAACCGCUUCACAAAAGGCCACGGCUAUUUGGAGUAUCCAUAGUCCAUACCCUCUGGGUACUGGAUCGGGGUUGGACAAUACUACCAGCGACCGUUUUCAACCCAUGCUCUUAGGAAAAUCAAGACAAAAACACCGCAUGGACUGAAUCCAUAUCCCAGGGGCAUUAGUGAAAAUUCGAACUUUUUGGGGGAAAAUUACGUUAGGGCUGCUUCUGGCAAGCGUCCGAUCGAUAUUUGCCGGAACAAUUUGCAAUCGCGUAGCUCGAUUGAUCGACGGUUUUUCUUGGAGCAGAAAGGAAGAGAGAAGAAUAAGAGGGAUCGACAAAACGCGCGAUUGGUAUAUUAGCUAAGCCGAGGGCGGUGGCAGCAGCGGUGGAUAGGCGGAUAACGACCGGCGGCUGCGACACGAAGGUGGUGGAGGAAGGACUGCGGGCGAUGUUCGUUUGCUGCCUUGUAGUUGUCUGAAUGAGGAAGCAACAAGGGCGUUGUCGUCGGCAACAAAUCGGCGUCGUCAAUUCAUGAAUGGGCUGCCUCCAAUUGCAGAUGAGUUGGCAGCCGAGUUUGUUGAACCAGCAACGGAAGAAUAGGCCGCCAUUAGGGUUGAAGAAUCUAGGUAACUCUUGCUACCUCAACAGUGUGCUUCAGUGCCUCACUUACACGCCUCCUCUCGCUAAUUUCUGUCUCCGCUUACAGCACUCUUCCAUCUGUAAGAUCCCUCUCCACUCGAUUCUUCAAUUUAUGUCUUCAUUUUGAUGUUGUUUGACGUUCUUCUACUAUAUUAAUCAGAUUGCUCGGGGGGCAAUAUUCAGGUCUCCAGAUUUUAAGUUGUUUAAACGAAUUCCAGUAUUUGCUUCAUCGUUAUUCAAUUCCUUUUGCAGGCGAUUCAGUUUCCAAUGGGGAGCGUAAGCGGGAAUGUCCCUUUUGUAUUAUUGAGAGGAGGAUAGUCCGGUCCCUAAGCUUGGAGGCCACCGUUGAUACCCCUCUCAAGAUAAAUAACUUCCUGCGGAUUUUUGCUGAGCAUUUUAGACGCGGCCGACAAGAAGAUGCCCACGAGUUCUUGCGGUAUGUAAUUGAUGCAUGCCACAACACUUGUUUGCGUCUCAAGAAACUGCGACGAAAAGGCAUUGGCCCUGCCAGCAACAGUACUGUAGUCAGUGAUAUAUUCGGGGGUGCUCUGCAGAGCCAAGUGAAGUGUUUAUCUUGUAAUGCGGAGUCAAAUAAGGUUGAUGAGAUUAUGGACAUUAGUCUAGAGAUUUUGCAUAGUAGUUCACUUUUGGAGGCGAUGCACAAGUUUUUCCAGCAAGAGAUUUUGGAUGGAAAUAAUAAGUAUCAAUGCGAAAGGUAACUAGCUAACUAUGAAAUCAAUGUUUCCGAUUUGUUCCUGCUAUUAUUUAUAUGAAUCAGAGACUUAUGCUCUUUUAGUUGUAAGAAAUUAGUGGCAGCAAGGAAGCAAAUGUCAAUUGUUGAAGCACCAGAUGUCCUUGUCAUCCAACUUAAGGUGUGUAUAGUUGUCUAUUUUAGAGAUAGAUUCUUGCCUCAUUUGUAACAGUUUAAGAGGUCAUGCUUUUCUGUUCUUUUUGGAGUAGAGAGACUUAUAGUUGGAUGUGUGGAUGCCAGAGAUUUGAGGGCAUAUUUGGCGGGAAGGUUGACAAGACCGUAGCAUUUGGAGAAGUUUUGGUACUAUCCAGCUUCAUGUGCAAAUCAAGCCAGGUAAUUUUUGUUUCGCCACUGGAUUUUUACUUCCAUGUAAGAGCUGGAACUAACAGUAGACUGUUGGUAUUAUGUGGAACUGAAUUUGAAUGCCAUAUUUGGUGUGCAUGUUUUGUGCCUGAGUGCGCGACGAACAUAUACAUUUAGAUCAUUAGAUUGGAAGCUAGACAUCAGACAAUGUGUAUGGUACAGUGUUUGAUCCAUUACAUAGAGGAUAUACCAUGUCCACGAGAUGAUUACUAUUAUACUUUGAAGUGUAGGCUAGCAGACAGUAUGGAUGGUACAGUGUUUGACCCAGUUCAUAGAGGAUAUACUAUGUCCACGAGAUGAUUACUAUUUUACUUCGAAGUGUACUAAAAUGAGUAAAAAUUACAGACUGUAUUUAAGUUGGUGGGCAAACAGUUAAGGUUAUACUGAACGUAAGUGAUAUUUGGUGUACAACAAAUGUGGUGUUUAAAGUGUUGUCUACAUCUGUUACAUCUUGUGCAGAAAUCCAGAACUCUAAGUGAUUCUGGUAUGAUUGAUGUUUAUUUCUGUGGUUUUCUUUACAUAUAUACACAGUCUGCAUCAUUAGGAUACAGAUCCAGCUAGUAGUGAUCCCUACAAAUCAGGGAUUAAUCCUACCUACCACUUACUAUGAUUACACUGCCUAAAUCAGGCUAGUCUGAUUCUAUAGGAUAGCUAGAUUACACUAAGUGAUACGCCUAAUAAUAUCCUAGUUAUUUCUGUAAUUCAACACUCCCCCUCAAGCUUGGCUGUAGAUGUUAUGGAGGCCAAGCUUGCCUUGUAGAUCAUCGAACAUAUCUCUAGGUAGAGCCUUCGUGAGAAUAUCUGCAAUCUGCUGCUUAGAUGGAACGUACUCCAUCUCGAACUCCUUGUUGUUUACUUUCUCAUAAAUAAAAUGACGAUCCAGUUCAACAUGUUUAGUUCGAUCAUGAUGAACUGGAUUCUUCACAAUGCUUAGUGCAGCCUGACUGUCACACAGCACUCUAACAGGACCCUCAUCCUCCAUCUUGAGUUCCCUUAGAAUGCGCCUUAGCCAAACUCCUUCACAAAUCCCAUCUGCCAGUGCCCUAUACUCUGCUUCAGCACUGCUCCUUGAGACCACCGUUUGUUUCUUACUCCGCCAGGUCACUAAGUUCCCCCAUACGUAGGUGCAGUAAGCUGAGAUUGACCUUCUAUCUGUAAGGUCUCCAGCCCAACUCGCAUCCGUAUAAAUCGAAAUUCUGCGUCCAGUGUGUUUCUGGAUCAGCAACCCAACACCUGGUGUGCCUUUUAAAUACCUUAAAAUUCUCAUCACUGCCUCCAUAUGCUCUUCAUUUGGAUUGUGCAUAUGUUGGCUCACAAUGCUUACUGGAAACGAGAUAUCUGGACGUGUGUGAGCUAAGUAUAUUAGCUUUCCUACCAAUUUCUGGUAACUCCCCCUCUCCACUGGUGCUGCUUCUUGGCCAAGAGCAAACUUCAAGUUGUGCUCCAUUGGCGUGCUCGCAGGUUUGCACCCAAUCAUCCCAGUCUCCUUUAACAAAUCUAAGACGUAUUUCCGCUGGGAUAAACUUAGUCCCUUACUAGAUCGUGCCACUUCAAUACCUAGGAAAUACCUCAAAUUUCCUAGGUCUUUUAUCUCGAAUUCCAGUGCUAGCUUCUCCUUAAGCUGUCUGAUUUCUUUUUCAUCAUCCCCUGUGAUGAUAAUGUCAUCAACAUAUACAAUGAGGAUGGCUUUUCUUCCUUCCUCAUUUUGCUUUACAAACAUGGUAUGAUCAGUUUGACACUGAUAAUACCCGUAUCUCUUCAUGGACUGAGAGAACCUCUCAAACCACGCUCGCGGAGAUUGCUUCAGGCCAUACAGUGCCUUCUUCAGUCUGCACACCAUUCCCGGUUCAGUGGCAACACCUGCCGGGACAUUCAUAUACACCUCUUCGUUUAGAUCCCCGUUUAGGAACGCAUUCUUCACAUCUAAUUGGUAUAGGGGCCAAUCUAGAUUUACUGCAAUGCUUAGAAGGACUCUCACAGUUUUUAGCUUGGCUACAGGAGCAAAUGUCUCCUCGUAGUCCACUCCAUAGCACUGUGUGAAUCCUCUGGCUACAAGACGAGCCUUAUACCUCUCAAUCUUUCCUUCUGAGGUAUACUUCACUGUGAAUAUCCAUUUGCAAUCCACUGUGGAUUUUCCAGCUGGUAGCUGUACUGUAUCCCACGUCUGAUUCUUGAGCAAUGCUCUUAUCUCUUCCAACACUGCUGCCCUCCAGUGAGGUAUUUUCAUAGCUUCUUCGAUGGAGUGAGGGAUUUCUGUGUUGUCAAGAGUUCCCACAAACGCCUUGUACUUCUGGCUUAGAUUUCCAUAUGAAACCCAUCUUUCAAUAGGAUGAGUUGUGCACGAUCUAGUUCCUUUUCUGUGAGCAAUUGGAAGGUAGACUGUAUCAUCUACCUGUGUUUCCUCUAUGUCAGCAGUCUGAGUUUCAUCUGUUUCCUCCGUUUGACCACCGUUCUCAACCCCAUCACUAGAUUCAACCCCCUGAUCCAUUUGUGCUGAUUCACCUUCUUGGGAGGCUGAGAUCUCAUUGAAUUCCUGGUCAGGCUGAGCAUGUGUGUUUCCUGCAGUCUUCUUCCUACGCUGAUAGACCAGAAGCGGAGGGAUUUGACUGUUAUGUUCUGUGGAGGGAUUUUUGGCUACUUUAGGAGACUCUAGAAUGACAGGGGAUGAUUCCAAGGUGAUAAUGCUACCAAUGGAGGACUCAACAGUAGAAUUCUCCCCCUGAGGCUGACAGUGGGAGUAGAAAGGAUGGUGUUCAAAAAACGUGACAUUUUUCGAAUGAUAGACUUUGUGGUCACUUGGAGAGUAACACUUGUAACCACUGUGAUGAGGGGAAUAUCCCAGAAAAACACAUUUGACUGCUCUAGGAUCGAGUUUAGUACGUAGGGAGGAAUCUAAAUGGACAAAGGCUGUACAUCCAAAUACCCUAAGAGGAAGAUUGGUUGAUAGAGCAUGACUAUGGGGAAAGUUUUUGAGUAGAACACUACGAGGAGUUUUAAAUCGUAGGGUUCGAUUUGGAAGACGAUUGAUAAGAUAGGUUGCUGUGAGGACAGCAUCACCCCACAAGCUCUUUGGCGCCUUAGCAGCAAACAGCGAUGCUCUUGCCACUUCCAGCAAAUGACGGUUUUUGCGUUCAGCAAUACCGUUUUGCUGGGGAGUGUAAGGGCAAGAGCUGCUGUGAGCAAUGCCAUUGGCUGUCAGGAACGAGCUUAAGGAGUGAUUGAAAUAAUCUUUUGCAUUAUCAGUGUGAAGAACUCGAAUAGGUGUUUGAAACUGAGUUUUGACUUGAUUUUGGAAGUUUUGGAAAAUUUGUUGGGUUUCAGUCUUUGAUUUCAUUAGGUAUGUCCAUGUUAAGCGAGUAUGAUCAUCGAUGAAGGUGAUGAACCAUCGAAAACCAUUACUUGUUUUUACAGAACAUGGACCCCAAAUGUCACUGUGAAUAAUGGAAAAAGGAUGUGUUGGCUUAUAUGGCAGACUAUGAUAGACGAUCUUUGUUUGUUUUGCAAGUUGACAAACCUCACAAUAGAAUGAACUCGGAUUUUUAUUGAUAAAAAGUUUAGGAAACAGUUUUUUGAGAUAAGAGAAACUAGAGUGGCCUAACCGGUAAUGCCACAUCAUGACGGGGCAUUCUAACUGGCUUGACCUAGAACUUAAGUAUGCUGACUUGGAACCCUCUCCCCCUGGUCUUAGUCCGCUUAUUGUCUUUAGACAGUACAGUCCAUCACACAGCUCAAACCUGCCAAUCAUCCUCUGAGAUCCCACCUCCUGCAAUACACAUUGUGAUGGGUCACAGGUUAGUCGACAUUUAAGAUCCUGUGUAAUCUGACUAACAGAAAUCAGAUUGCAAUUUAGCUUUGGAACGUAUAGAACAGGGAACACAGCCUGAUUAGGGGUCAGGUAGGCUGUCCCAAUUCCUUCGACUGGAGCUAUGGUUCCAUCCGCGAUACGAACUCCUGCUUUCCCUACAUGAGCCUGGAUAUUGUGGAGUAGCUGUCUAGAACCAGUCAUGUGUUCAGUAGCUCCAGAAUCUAAUAUCCAGUGUUGUUUGAACUGAUUUAGGGCGAGUAAAGCAGUAGAAUUUAUACCUUGCCUAGCAAACAGGCUGUGGUGAGUUUCAGAGGGGCCUGCAGAUGCCUUCUUAGCCGUGAAUUGAGCCAUCAUCUGCUGGAGGAUCUCCAGUUGUUCUCUGGUCAUCUGACCAAUCUGUUGAGUUUGCUCAGCGGCAGCAGCCUGUGCAUGAGCCUCCCUCUCUGCCUUAGGUUUCCAGUCAGCAGGCUUCCCAUGUAGUUUCCAGCAGGUGUCCUUAGUGUGUCCUAUCUUGUUACAGUGAGUACACUGUGGACGCACCUUUCCAGACUUGGUGUAAGCAGUCCCUUGAUUUCCAGUGUAGUGAGUGGCCAGGGCAGAACCCUCCACUGGAAUGCUUUUAGACUCAGGGAUCAUGAGCUUCCUCCUGCUCUCUUCCCAUUUGAUUUCAGCGAACGCCUCCCUGACUGAUGGAAGAGGAAGACGGCCCAUGAUCCUUCCCUUGGCCUCAUCGAGGGCCUGAUUCAGUCCCAGGAGGAAACGGAUGGUCCGUUUGGUCUGGAGGAUUUGUCGAUACAAUUCUGCAUCUUCUGUACACUUCCAUAGGUGUACGUCGUACAGAUCCUGCUGCAGCCAGCAUUUGCUCAGUUCGUCAUAGUACUGAGUAACUGACUUUUCCCCUUGUUUGAGAUCAUGGAGUCGCAUCUCCACCUCAAAAGCUUCAGCCUUGUUUGCCUGAUUGGAGUAUGUAUGCCUAGCUCCAUCCCAGAUCUCAUGGGCAGUUUGGUGAAGAAGGAAUUUCUCACCAAUGGACGUGGUCAUUGAAUUCAGAAGCCACGACUGGACCAUAUUGUCCUCAAUAUCCCAGUUGAUAAAUUCUGGGUCAUCCUCUGCUGGCUGCGUGGUCUUUCCAGUUAGGUAGCCUCUUUUCCCCUUGCCUGAGAUAAACUUCAGUACUGACGAGGACCAUUGGAGAUAGUUAUCUCCGUUGAGGCGAUGGUUUGUGAUACAGCCCAGGACUGUGUCUGAUAGAUUCAUGUUGUUAAUUAACUGCCUGUGCUUUAGUAUGUGUCUGAACUAUUAUGUGUCUGAAUUAUGACUUCAUUUUUCUGAGUAGCAUAUUUGACCGUGCUUUACUAAUUUCAUACUUGCAAGCCCUCAGGACCCCCAGCCAGAGUAUAGCCUCUUUGGUACCAUAGUGCAUUCAGGAUACUCUCCUGAAUCUGGACACUACUACGCUUAUAUCAAGGUAUAUAUCUCACUAGUACAGACUAAUACUAUAUAGAAGCAAGGACAUCUAUCAUUGACUUAAGUCGUGGAAUCUGUGUACAGGAUGCAAUGGGACGUUGGUACUGCUGCAAUGACUCGUAUGUUACCUUGUCAACCUUACAGGAGGUCUUGUCAGAGAAAGUGUAUAUUCUUUUCUUUUCUCGAACUAAUCAAAAGCCAGUAUCUACGAAGCCUGCUGUAAAGCCUGCUGUUGCUUCAAAUGGAGCCCAGUCACUUGACCUGAACGGAAGCAAGGCCUCUAAAAUUACUAAGGCUACCCUCCCUCCGAAAUUAGGGUAUCCAAGGCCACUUGCUUCGGGGAAGGAUAUUGUGGCUAGCUCUGACGUUGAUAAAAUUACUUCUAGGAUACAAAUAAAGUUCAAUCUUUCUGGAAACUCUGUUUCUAAGAUGCUUCCUCCAAUUACCAAUGGGAGGGCUGUUGUGGCUAAAGCGAACUCAGAAGCUAAUGGUACCUCAGAAGGCAAGGUUCAGUCUGAGACGCUUGGCGAAACAUCAAUGUCAUCAGUAAUCAAGCAUGGGUCCAGUAGUAGCACAAAAGUUAAUGUUGCCAAUGUUGAGACUCACCAUGCUCAUACAGCUGCAGAUGAAAAUCAACACUCCGAAAAUGGCGUCGUUACUCCUGUGAGGCCAACUUUGUACAAGGGGAAUAAUGGCUCGCUAAGCAAUGGAAUAGCAAGGACGGCUCCUAUUUGCAAUGAAAUGUCAAAUGGUGCUUCCCACUCCCGACAGCUUGUUUCUCGGUCCAAGAGAAAAUUGAAGCAGAGUUCCUGUGUUUUGUUUGCUCUAGAUGAUCAAUCAAGAGCCAAGGUUGAUGAGCUGAAGGAACUGUAAGUACAUUCUAUCUUUAUAGUAUCCGCUUCACUAGUUAUGAAAUUAUGUGCUUAGAUUUACCUUCAUUGUUUACAUUCUUUUUUUGGCUCCCAUCUACUUAUAUUUUCCAGUAUAUUCUCAGGCGAUGGGUUUUUUAUUUUUGGUUAUUUAUGAAUGUUGUUAUUGAAGGAGCUAACAAUACAUUUCAUUAGUAUCCUCAAAGUCAAAGUGCACGAAACGAAUGUUGUUUUUGACAAGUGUCUGAUUUCACUCGGAAAAACUGUCGAGCCCGUCUAUAACACUAUGACCUGAGACACUCUUUGCAUUGCUCGUCGUGAGUUUAGUUCCCUUGUCAUCAAUAAAUUGUCUAAAUGGUGCACUAUUACCGCCUACCAAUCCCUUGGGAUAAGAUUCAGUUCUUUUGAGAUGUCACAAGUGUCCUUAUUGGUUGAUUGUUAGUACUACUUAUCUAAUUGUACUUUUGUGGGCGUAUUAGGCGUGAUUAGUACCUUUCCCUUUCUAGAUCACAUGUUUGUUUCAUAUUGCGGCUUUUUUUAUAUUGCAGUCUCGAGCAAGAAUCAUCUGCAUUCUUGCGGUCAUCUGGCUGGACUGGUGAAGUAUACAAUCGCAUGUCAAAGAAAAGAUUACGUGAACAAGAAGCAGGAAGCACCAAUAGCGCUGAUGAGUUGAAGUAAGUUUCUAUAUACUCAAUAGGUUCUUAACCGAGGAAGUACUUCUGUCUCGACAUUAUAUCUGAAAAUCUCGCACCCUUUUGUUCCUGGACAUAACAUAUCCACAAUGCUAAUUGAUUUACGCAGGGGCUUGUUGAUUGCGGAUGCUAAGCGAAUGUUCAAGUCAAAGGUGCCUGGAUCAUUAAUAGGAGAUCUAGUGAAGCAAAUUCAGUCAUUUAGUGAAGGGAAAUGAUGAUGCCUGUUAUUGCCCUUCAACUGGCUCGGUAUUUCUCGUUUUUAUCUGUUCGAAUCCAGAAUAUGACGGUCCAUUUUUGCCUAUCUGCAUACCUGAUGGUUACUGACUUACUGUGGUUACGUGUACUUUGCGCAGUCUUUUAAUGUCUUAAAAAGCGGAGCCAUUUCGUAUACUCAUCUGUUACGAACAAGUUGGAAUCAGCAGUAGAAUGGAUCUCGAGAUUAGCGAAACUGUCUAGCAGCUGGAAGAGUUUUGGCAACUUGGCCUCGAAAUUUUGCAGUGAGGGAGGAGUGAGUUGUUGGAUGAUGAGGCUGUAAAUUUUGUCCUUUCGGCAGAGGAGGUGAGGGAAUCUUUGUACAAUUGUUAGGAAAGAUAACUUGCUAUUGGACGUAUAAUGAUCGAUAUGUUUCGGUCAGUCGAUGGUGGAAAUUUUUCGACGGAAGUAAACGGAGAUGGAAUGUACAACAUAUUAUACACAGAGAACGAUUAAAUUGGAUACCUUUGUUUUCAGGUAUCAAUAACACUUUGAUAGUCCAAACUUCAGCGUUUGCAAAGAUCUAACUCGGCAUAAACGAAAUUUUGAAUUCGACCUAAAGAUGGACUGAACCGUAGCCUGAUAUUUCUAUCCACUUACAGCUUCUCCCCCACAUAUUACUCUACAGAUAAAGCCCAACGAAAGCACACUUUGUUUUCUAUAGCUGCAAAAAUAGGGGAGGAGGUUGUCCUGUUGAACUUCUGGCCUAGCCCUUGUGGAGCAAGGAUCACGAUUUUGCUAGCCGAGAAGGGCAUCCAAUACGACUACAAAGUCGAGGACAUGAUUACCAGCAAGAGACCUCUUCUGCUGGAGAUGAACCCGGUUCACAAGAUGGUGUCUAUUGUUUAGCAAUGACAAAGCACUAUUUUACAUAUGUCCUGAUCAGCUGGAUCGGUUCGACGCAAAUCAUAAAUUUGUUAAAAAACAAAGUUGAGUGAUCGAAAUGUUAUCUAUCCCAAACUUUAACCGAUAUGUUUAGAGACACCAUUUUGAGUGAUCCUGAAGUUCUCAUAUAAGUGAUGCUUGUUCUCAUAUACAUGAUUUUCGAGAACUUUCAGAGACGAAACAAGUAACCGGGUGUCAUGGAGAAUGACCUCAAAGUAUUCUUCUGGUACAAUCUCGGUAUGCUUGCUAGUUACUACAAUAACCAACUUCUUACUGUUACAUCCUGUAUAAUACUAUAAUCAAAAUGACUUGAUCUCUGGCGUCAAAUUUCCAUUGUUUCUGAACCAGAGUGUUACUUCUCCAUGGGGUUUAGCUUCAGCGCAGCACUGCAAAAACGUCACCAUGAACACAAAAACAUAUUCCAGACAUUGGCAUUUGGUAAAACUAUGCAAGAAACAGAAAUCCCAGAACGAAAAUUGAUCUCUUUUUCACCUGUUGAUGCAGUAGCGUUGGCCAGUAGGCUGCGGACCAUCGUUGAACACAUGUCCUAGAUGAGCAUCACAAACAGCACACACAACCUCCGUCCUAGGCAUGAAGAUGAUGGACAAAUCCAGCUUCGAUUUCACGUUGUCCCCUAUCGGCUCGUAAUAAGAUGGCCACCCGGUUCCACUGUCAAACUUCGUUGCUGAUCUGCACAUUAUCAAUCACAAUUUCUAAACACACCCGAUCGUCUCCCUAUCCGAAACUUGUCGAUACUUGCUCGAAAUGCGGUGUGUCCCUAUCCGAAAAUUGUAGAUACUUACUCGAAAAGUGGCGUGUCGCAACAUAUGCAGUGGUAAGUUCCUGGGGUUUUGGUUCUCCAGUAGUCCCUGUGAAACAUCAAAUCCAUUAUGCCCUAUCAAUUCGACCACAUCAUACACGAGACAAGAGGUGAAUGAAAUGAGCAAAAGAACAUACCCAGUGAAAGCUCUCUCGGUUCCCUUCUGCCGAGUUACAUAGUACUGUUCUGGUGUGAGUUUCUUCUUCAAUUCUUCAUCACUCAAGGUCAAGGGCAUGCCUUUCUUCGUAUCUAAAAUUCUGAACAAUAGUAACUCUUAAUCAAACCAUUAAAGCAGAAGUUUAGCAAUGAGUUUUAUGUCAAUCUGUAAGUCGAUGAUCAAGACCAAAUCCAAGUGAGGUGUUUAGUCACUUAUCCUCGAUUAUACUCUGAAUUGAAGCCAACGAUCAAUUGUACAAUCAUUACAUUUCCUGAUUCCGAUCAGAAGAUCAGAAAGUAUCGAAACUAAUCACAUAAUUACAGGAAAAUAAAAACGUGAAUCGUAGCAAAUCAAUCGUUCGCAAAUUGAAACGUGAUUGAGGAAAUGAGAGAGACCUUGAAGGUUUUCAUUAGGUUUGGGAGAGGAGGCAGAAGAACCCAUGGCGCGGACGGACAAAGAAACUGAUCUUCCGGUGAGUCGUCGGCGGCGAGUACUGCCUUCCUUCAGUAACAGCACUGAUCCAAAAUUGAAUUGUUGGGUUGUGGAGGAGAGUAGACUUGCAGUUGCUGCUUCUGAUAAGCACUGAAUCCUCGUCGUGCUAUGACACAGAGUAGCAGCCAUUAAUGUUCUCUCUUUUUUGCAGAGUCUGACCGGUUAUCGGCGAGAAGAAGAGAGAGGAUUCUUCGUUGCUGGCGUGGCUGCCUAAUAGCUGCACAGUCCGUCUGAAGCUCUGGACUUCUCCAUCGGACACGUGGCGCUAUUUGAGGCUGACUUGGAUUCAUGAGGCUCUUGCUGAGCCACGUCAUCUAAAAGUUAGGAUAAUGAAUGGGACGAUACACUUUGUUGAAUAAUAUUCGACUAAUUACGAAUUACUUUAAUAACUUCUUAUUUUAUAAUUUCGAAUGGGAUAGUUCGGUCGAUAGAGUUGUGUGAUUGAUAACCUAGAAAUUAUAUGAAUUUAGUUAUAUUUUUCAGUACGGAUUCGUUUCCAUCAACAUAGCUCAUGAAACCAUUGGUUCUCUUGCCUUUGUAGUCGGUGGAACAAACAUGUCGAAAAUUCUUUAACCUAUAUUUAUGUUUGAUAUUUCCUACAAGUAUUUUAUAAGUAGACAUCAAGAGCAAUGAUAAGGUGGUUCUUUCAUUAAAGCACGUGUUAUGAAGCUAACGAUACAUAACCUCUUUGACUACUUAUUCUCAGUUUUAUGUUUAAAAUAUUUAGUGAUUUGGAUCUGUCAAAUAAAACUACCCACUAAAUAACGGGUGAAAAAUACUCCUUAAUAUCUCAUAUGCUCUAUUUAGACCGAUAAAAUCAAUCACUCUUUAAUAUCUCACAGGCCGUGAUUUGCCAGCGGGCAGUAGUGCAUCGAACAAACAAACCAAUGGUAUCUUCCGUCAACAGUGUACUCCAACAGAGGCGCAAUGCAAGAUGAAACUUAAAGCAACGAUUUCCCUAAGAGGGCUCAAGGAGUUACGAUUUCCCUAACAACGAGACCUUUUUCGGAUGUGAUGCAAGGCGAUGUUGCAGUAUCUCCAAUUACUGCGGCACUAGUUACUGUUACGAAUGUAACUGUGUAUUCCAGUGUACUGCACCUUAUCACCUGAAGCGCCAUCCGCCGCAAUAUCAUCAUGAAUUAAUAAUGGUACUACUACUACAGUACUGGUCAAGGGUACGCGUAAUGAGUACUGCGAUGAUGUUGAUCAAGUAGCUUCGUUAUAGCGUGCGAAUUCUCUGAAAAAUAUGCCAUUGGCAUCGCUUCAGAAGUAUGCAUGGGCUUCUUUCCCAACGAUAAGCAACGAUACUGGUACAGCUUGCGGUCGGUGCUUAAAGGUACGCAAAGAACAGCUGCACUACAGCAAAACUGUUUUUACAACCUUAAAAAAAGCUCAAUUUCUACAAAUGAAAUUUCAUCCCAGAAGCUCUGAUAGUCUCUAAUGGAACUGUCUCAGCUAAUUAGACUAGGCGUACCACAGUUAACAACGUCUUGAUUAUACAUUUAUAAAACCCAAUUGAAUGCGUACGUGUAUAGAACAAUUAAUUAAACCCUGCUGAUCAUCUUAUAAAUUCAGCAAUCGGCCCUCAUCUCAUCUAUUGUAAAAAUUGGUACAAUUUCAAACGAUGGUGAAAAUAAUCUCUGCUUUCUGGAUAGUACUAGUUGUGGUUCUGACAGCAUCAACAUCAGCAACCAGCACCGAGCUUCCGGAUGCUAGGUGUUACGAUAUCCCUAACUACCGCCGUUUUGAAUGCGAUCCGGGCCGCUGCUGUAGUAUCUGGCAUUACUGCGGUGACACCGCUGACUACUGUGUUGGACCUGGCUGUGCAUUCCAGUGCACUGACCCUGGAGAUCAUGUAACAUCAUCCAUUCGUAAUGUUACUAGUGGUACACAACUCGUCAAGGUUACACGUUACGAUGAUCGAAAUUCGUUAUCGUGUGCAAAUUCUCUCACUGAUUUGUCGUCGGCGUGCCUUCACAAGUAUCCAUGGGCUUCUUUCCGCGUCAACAACAUUACUAGUACAUGCGGCGGCUGCUUAAAAGUACGAUUUGUCAAUAUCCGUUGCAUCCCAAUUUUUCGUUGAUUAUAUAUGACUAAUAUGAUGUAUGUUUCGCAGUUGACGAAUGUUAGGAGCGGAGUUGAAGCGAUGGUACGAGUUGUCCAUGAACCUGCUACUGAAUCUGAUCAGCUGGCACUCGAACUGGGCGCUGCUACGUUCAACAAACUCAACGGCCGUGGUGAAGGUGAUCAUCAUCACGACCUUGUCGUCAAGUACAGCUUUGAAAGCUGCGAUUGACUGUACAUGAUGACCAUAGGGCGAUGAACAAUCUCGAGCCGUUUAAUUACUUUUAUCGUUUAUGAUCAAUAUCCUAUGUACUGAAUAAUAAAGUGAUAAAAAGUGUGUUUGCCGUUGGCAAGGUUUCGUGUUCGAAUCUCCAUACCGUCAUAAAUAGACGUCUAGUUAAAAUGUCCCGCCCCUUAUAUAUACAUGACAUGAUAUAUAAUUUGUAUUCCUUAUCUAUGAUCAUAUAAUGCUGAUGACAUGACUGAAAUCGAAUCGAAAAAUAAAACUAGCUAGAGUCGAGGUAUGUGUUUGCAUAGUUGACAUGACUGAACGAAGAUGACCAAUGGGUUAGAACUUGACAAUUCAGUUACUUGUAGGAUAUCAUUUAAAUUUUAAUGAUGCGUAGGUAAUAGAUCAAUAAUUUAGUGACUUAGUAAAGUUAUCACCCAUUUUAAUAAUCAUAAAAUAGAAGGCCAUUUCUUUGAAUAAUUUGUACUCUUUAUGAUAAGCUCUCAAUUAUAUUUUUUAUAAUAAUAUUUUUGCCCCCUCUAUUUUACCAAGAUAACAAUUAGGCCUUUGUACUAUCAAAAGUUGUUUUUACCUCUCCUCCUACUAAUUCACAACAUCUUCUAUCAAAAGAGGAGAACCAGUAGUAUUGGUUAGCAACAACCUGCUACGCACUCCAACAGCAUCAGCAUUACCAUCGUCGGAAUCAGAAUCCUCGUUGACAAUCCUGCGCCCCAUUUCCUGCACCAAACCGUGCAUCUCAAGCCUCUCAUCGCCCGUAACCCUCACCAAGGAUUUGUCGGCGAGGGAAGUUAUGAUGUACUCCGAAGAUCCAUACCCAUAAGCACCAUCCAAUCUCGACUUCACAUACUCCUUACUCUCUCCCUUGUAGAAACAAGCAAUGUUGAGGAACCCGUUCUUCUCGUCGCAAUCCAGCCUCUCGAAGCUCGCUUUCAACAUCCUCUGUAUCCUCUCGUUCGGUAUCCUCUGCAGUCUGAACAAUGUACUCUCCCAAUAUUCUCUGCUCCUACCUUUCAGAGCCUUUCCGAAAAUAAUAAUCGCUAACGGAUUCCCUCCCGUGUAGUUAACGACCUUCUUCGACAGCUUGAUAUAGUGCUCUUCCGGACAAUCAUCAUCGUCGGCUACAACAAUGACAUUCGAAUUCGAAGGUCUGGUUUGGCAGGUGGAAAGUUGGAUGGAAUUUUCAGCAGCAAUUAGACAAAGUGAUUUUGAGGGGUGAACUGAACACUUAUCAUAAUUGCUGUCUAAAUUAUUCCAUCCAGCUUUCCACCUGCCAAACCAGGUCAAAACAAAGAGCUCUAGAGAUUCGUCCUCGUCCAAACCCUUGACUUCGUAGAUUUCGUCGCAUACUAUCUUCAGAACCUGGUGAUCCUUACUUGUCACCAAGAUUCUGCUCCCGGGACCGAACACGGUCCGAGGCUGCUUGUCCAGUAAGUUGUGGAGCGUUAUCGGCUCAUCGACAUCGUCGAGGACCACGAAGGUUUUCGUACGACUGAGGCGGUUCUUGGAAAUGGCCGUGGUGGCCACUUUUGUGUAGCUUCGAGCGCCCAAGUCGUGGUCGUCGAGGAUGCUCGAAAAGAGCUCUUGCUGUAGACGGAGUUCGGUUGACGACCCCUUUUCAAGUUGUCUCCUGAUGUCUGCGAGGAAGUGGGAGCCUUCGAAUUGGUUCGAGAAUUGGUCGAAUAUGGCUCGGGCGAGUGUGGUUUUUCCCAUCCCGCCCAUCCCCCAUAUUCCAAUGAUCUGAGUACUAUCGGACGACGAGGACGAUGAUGAUGAAUCCAUACUCAACAAGGAUUCAAUUUCUUUCACUCGAGAAUCUGCUCCGACCAGGCCCGUAAAUUGAAGAGAUGGGGCCAUUUGAUUUAACGUCGUUAAGAUGUUCGAUACGAUCGUUCUCACUAGUUCUGCCUCACUCCUGUUACAAUUUAAGUAUGUUACAGUCUAGCAAUAGAAUUGACGAAAAGGUUCGUUUGUUAAGUUGGCUAUAAUACGAAGAAGGCAAUUCGGAAAGUGAAAUAGCAGAGUAGGCCAAAAGUUUCCACCAUAGGGAAGUUUAGUGAUUCUGAUAGCAAAUAUUUGCAGAUGGCAAGUUUUUUAAAAUUUGACAAACUAAUGUAAGUGGGUUGAAAUACUUAAUUUAUCUCGUAAUUUUGAAAUGUGUUACAUACUAAUUACGAUACUUUCAAAUGUUACGUAUUUUUAUCUCGAAACUCAUAAAUAAAGCAGAUUGGACUGAUCCAAAACAUAAGUUUCAGGACCAAAAAGUAACAUUUUGGAAGUUUUAAAAUCGAGUGGAAGGAAGGAGGAAAAGGGGGGCUUACUUAAUGACAAGAGAAUCCCAGCCGGAGAGAUCGGCAGCUGCCACCAAAGCAUUCCUCCAAAUCCCGACUUUACCCUUAGUCAACGCCGACUUCCGGUGCUUGUUCAUCGCCGCCGCGUAGCUCCUCCUCUGUUCCGCAACAUCUGAAGGAUCCACCCGAAAGAAAACCGGGUAAACGACCUGCCCGAACCGCUUCCGGCACCGCAUUAUCUGCACCAGCUCGUCAAGGCACCACCCGGAAUCCGCGUAGUUCUCCGAGAACACGACCACCGCCAUCUUCGACUCCUCGAUCGCCUUCAGCAGCGAGUCGGAGAUGUCCUCUCCUCGCCGGAGGCGGACGUCAUCGAUGUAGGUGAGGACGCGGCGCCCCUGCAGCGCGGAGUAGAGGUGGCUGGUGAAGUUGUCCCUGGUGUCCGCUCCUCUGAAGCUCAGGAACACGUCGUACUUGUGGACCACUUCGGCGGAGGAAUCGGAUUCGUCGUCGUUGACCGGCGGCGGGGAUGAGGUUCCCGUUGUGGUGGCGCGUCGGCGAGUGAAGUGGAGGAUGAUUUGGGUGAGGAAGACGGAGAGAUGGAUUAGGAGGAGGAGGUAGUACCAGAGCAUGGUCAGAUUGAAUGGCGAUCGGCUCUGCAAUUGUCCAAUCGGAAAUUGAUUGCAGAGAGAUUGAAUCGAACAAGUGACUCUUUGGAUUAAAUCGGGCCAUCGGAGAACCCACCUAACCGAGAAAUUUUGAUUAAUUUUUUAAGAAAAGACCAUAGGACGCGGCAGUUCAGAGUACAGAGUUGACUAUUCGUUAACACAAUAGAGUUGGGUGAAAGAAAUAAAAAUCAUAGCAGUCGAACCACUCACAACCCGACCGGUUCGCUCGCUAAACCCAAUACUUCUCCUCCCAUUCUUCGAUCAAACCGUCAUUUUUCAAUUAAAACCUCAGAGUUCAACAUUUUCUUAGAGAUACUUGCUUUAGUCCAAAAUAAAAAAAAAUUGAGUUGGUUAUGUAAGAUAUAAGACUCUAUCAAUAAUAAUUAUAUUUAAUUAUAAUAAAUUUAAAAUUACCUUAUUUGAAAUUAAAAUAAAUUAUUAUUAAAAACUGCGAAUUUGAUAUCAACAAAGAUUUUUUUGUGUAGAUAUCACCAACAAUUAUUAUCGGAUAUAUAAUUUAAUUUUGUGUGUAAUAAUACAAUAAUAACAAAGAAACCAUAUUGAAUAUGACGACCUUGUGUAAUAAUUUGAAGUACACUUAUUUGGAUACAUAUGUGGUACACACAUAGUCACACUAGUAACCGUACCAGGACAUAUCCUACGUACCAACCAAUAAUCACUACUUGUUAGAAGCUUUCAUGAACUUAACAAUGGAAGGGUCAUCAUCAGUAAGGGCAAGCCUCUUCUUGCCAUCUUCAUCCACAUAAACCCCGACAUCCUUACACUGAACUUUACACGACUUGCACACAGAAGGACAAUACACGAGCUUGUAGUUCCCUCCGUAUUUCACAAUCUUAAACCAGCUGUCCACAGUCCUCGGACCAGGCUUCCCUUCGACCCCACCGGUCCCGAUGAACCACUGCUUAACAUCAUGGUCGUAACUCUCCACCUUCCACACGGGGGCUUCGUCGCACGCAGUCUCUGCUGUGAACUCGAUGUUGAGGUCGGUGUUCGUCUGGACUGUGUAGCCUGGCUUGGCGUUGACAGGCAGGAAAACUACCGGGAGACCCUUGGAGAGCUCGUAGUCGUCUUGGAAGACGGAGAGAGGGCAUUUUUGGGUCUUGGUUGUGUCUAGAAAGAUGCCCCCGCCGUUUCCGGAGACGGAUGGGAGGAUGAAGUACUUGAGGCCUGACCGGAGGGGUGUGCCGUCGACGUCGGUGACGGGAGUUGGGGAUGAUGCGGCGGAUGAAAGCGUGGUGAAGGAGAUGAGGAGUAUGGUGAAUGAAGAGAUUGUGAGUAGCAUUAUUGUUGUUGUCUUCAUAAUGUAUUUCUUGUUAGCUAAUAGCUAGCUGUUGAUGUUGCUACUUAAUUAUUAGUGUUGUUUUAACUUGGGUUUUGGAUGUGUGUUGAUGGUUUGAGUUGUGACUUGUGAGUGAGGUUAUUUAUAGGGUUUAAGUUUCAAUUAGGCCUAAUUGCAUGGGGGAGAAAUGGUUGGAGAUGGAAUCUGACCAACUAAGGUUGGUAAUUAAAGACUCAUCAACUUGCUUAAUUAUAGCUUGGGUCUUUCUUCGGUUGGGCCAUAUCCAUUUGGUUGGACCAAAAGUCAAAAUUUCAGACCAAAUUGUGAUACAGUCAACAUUUCCUUUGGGUUUUGUUUUCAAAAAUGGAUCUGGACCUAUCAUUAAGGAUUUACAAUAUGGUUUUGUUAGUUUGGAUUCGUUAUAUACCAUAUAUAUAAUUAAAAAUAAAACGGUGUAUGAAGAUGAAGAGAAAAAUUUAAUGUAAAUGCUGAGCAUAAUUAUUUUGAUAUUUGUAGGGUUCAAACUUCAUAUGUGUUUGUACGUACGUUAAAAGGAGAAUAUUUAUGUCAUCGCAUCAAAUAUAAGAUUCGUAUUUUAUAUUGCUAUCAUUUUUAUUCUUAGACUGUCCAGAACUUUAAUGUAGCGUAACAUAUUCCGUCGUCAAAAGUCGUAGAGGGUCAUGGCCCCUCUCGACAACCAUCUAGCUCUGCCUUUGAGUGUAGGAUUGGAGUAUUCUGCUUCCAAGCUUCUUAAAUCGAUCUUUGUAGUUUUUUUUUACCAUAAUCUGCAUUUGUGGUUUGAUUUCCUCCACCACGACGGGCUCCCCUGGCUCCGUGACACACAAAUCCACAGCUUCAACCAUGGCUGGUUGCUCUUAUCCAGAGGCCAACCCAGUUUCUUCUUCCUCAACCCCACCACGGGACAAAUCAUCCGCCUGCCCAAGACCAUGUCUUCUCGUCCGUUCAAUGCCAUGAGCUUUUCGGCCCCGCCCACCUCUCCGGAUUGUGUGGUUAUCCGCGUUAUUGAUGUCAACCCACUCAGAUCGAUGAUGACGGAAAGUGAUGAUUAGUCCCGUAUGUUCAUCUCUUUCACAAGACGGGGAGAUAGGUCGUGGAUAGACUAUAGCUUUGAUAUCUGUGAAUAUUUCAUGGGGUAUCCGAACAAGGCAACGUUGGGAUUCUAUCCAUCCCGACUAGUCGCAGCGAGUUCAGACUUACUUGCAAAGCGAACUUCAGGUGGUCCGGUUCUAGCCCAGCUCCGGUAUUUCACAAAGGGGCUUUCUACUGCUUAAGCCAGGAAGUGAGGUUGGGGGUUUUCGACCCUAGGGAGGAGAAUAAGAAGAACAUGUGGAAAGUAAUCGAUGGCCAGUGUCGUACAGCUUUCUACAGCCAUGUUUGCAACCAAGCUUACUUGAUAGAAUCGAGUAAGGCAGAGCUGAUUUCGGUAAUGGUCGGACCAGAAGCAGAAUUCAUGCGGGUUUUCAAAUACAAUCACAUCCUUAAGCUGUGGCAGAGUCUUGAUAGCAUCGAAGAUCAAGUGGCUCUUCUGAGUCCCACUUCGUCCAUGAUUCUAUCAUGCAAGGAGCUUCAAGCUAAGGGAUUAGAGAACGCCAUUCACCUCCCGAGAUUCCAUGGCCCCUACAACGUCUACUACUCGUUGUCGACUAAGGAAUUUACAUCAACGGAACGUCCAUUGAACUGCACUUGGAUGGUACCUAAAAUGUUGACUAUAUCAAGAAUCUGGUCAGACAUUUUGACUUUUGGUCCAACCAAAUGGAUAUGGGGCAACCAAGUUGAUGAGUCUUUAAUUACCAACCUUAGUUGGUGAAAUUCCAUGCAAUUAGCCUAAAAUUAAACCCUAUAAAUCUCAACCAAUCUCUCACUCACAACUCAAACCCUCAACAAGUAUCCAAACCCAAAGCAAAACCAACACUACUAACUAUCAACAUCAGCCAGCUAAUUACAAGAAAUACAUUAUGAAGACAACAACAAUAAUGCUACUCACAAUCUCUUCAUUCACCAUACUCCUUAUCUCCUUCACCACGCUUUCAUCCGCCGCAUCGUCCCCAACUCCCGUCACCGACGUCGACGGCACACCCCUCCGGUCAGGCCUCAAGUACUUCAUCCGCCCAUCCGUCUCCGGAAACGGCGGGGGCAUCUUUCUAGACACAACCAAGACCCAAAAAUGCCCUCUCUCCGUCUUCCAAGACGACUACGAGCUCUCCAAGGGUCUCCCGGUAGUUUUCCUGCCUGUCAACGCCAAGCCAGGCUACACAGUCCAGACGAACACCGACCUCAACAUCGAGUUCACAGCAGAGACUGCGUGCGACGAAGCCCCCGUGUGGAAGGUGGAGAGUUACGACCAUGAUGUUAAGCAGUGGUUCGUCGGGACCGGUGGGGUCGAAGGGAAGCCUGGUCCGAGGACUGUGGACAGCUGGUUUAAGAUUGUGAAAUACGGAGGGAACUACAAGCUCGUGUAUUGUCCUUCUGUGUGCAAGUCGUGUAAAGUUCAGUGUAAGGAUGUCGGGGUUUAUGUGGAUGAAGAUGGCAAGAAGAGGCUUGCCCUUACUGAUGAUGACCCUUCCAUUGUUAAGUUCAUGAAAGCUUCUAACAAGUAGUGAUUAUUGGUUGGUACGUAGGAUAUGUCCUGGUACGGUUACUAGUGUGACUAUGUGUGUACCACAUAUGUAUCCAAAUAAGUGUACUUCAAAUUAUUACACAAGGUCGUCAUAUUCAAUAUGGUUUCUUUGUUAUUAUUGUAUUAUUACACACAAAAUUAAAUUAUAUAUCCGAUAAUAAUCGAUGGUGUAAGGUUUUGUUUAUAAUGUCCAUGAGACUAGUCAAACUCCUCACCUGACAAUUUUAUUCCUUCUCGAAAUCGAUCGGCCUUGCCUUAUUUUUUUCAGGACGAAUACAUGAAACCAUACAAGAAGAAUGUAUUAAUAAAAAAGACUAGGCCGCCAAAAUUAUUCGUUGUUACGCAAAGAAACUGGAUUUAUUAAAUGGUCACUGAAUUAAUGUUUUAUAUCUAAUGAGAGUGUGGUCCAAAGUACAUGUAUCAAUCCAAUUGUGCAUAAUAAGUUGUAUAACUAGUUAUUAAUUCGUGUAACUUUGUUACACAUAAUUAUAACCAACAAUUGACAAUUGUGAUCAGUUGCAAAUAAUUUAUUGACAAUAAAAACGACAAUUAUAACAAAGUCUUAUGGCUCAAUCCCUAACCACCUACUAACUCUUUUUCAAACAUGAAACCAUGACAAGUUCCCUAAGUUUGCUUAUAUAAGCAAAAACUAAAUACGGACUUGACUAAUAUGAAGAUUAAAUCUAACAUUAUAUACUAAAAUAGAGUGUCUUUUCGGAGACGUCCGAUAAAAUUGAAAAAAUAUACUAAAAUAAAGUAUUACAAGUUGAUAAAAAAACCGUGUGUAUAACUCUUGGCUCCUCUCUAUUGGGGAAGUCCUGCUGCUAUGAGAGCCGUUGGAUAAGAGAGAUUUAUAAUAGUAGUAGCAGUAUGAGCCAACAGGAAAGAAAGAAGCAAGCUAAGCAAGUUGAUUAGUCUUUCAUUACCAACCUUAAGUAGGCCAAAUUCCAUCCAAUUCCAAAAUAGCCUACAGCUUAAACCCUAUAAAUCUCACCCAACUUCUCACUCACAAACUCAAACCUUCAAACAACAGAUAUCCCCAAAGACCAAGCAAAACCAGCACUAUUAAGUACAGCAACCUCAGCAGCUAAGCUAACAAGAAAUAUGAAGACAACAAUGCUACUUGCAAUCUCUUCAUUCAUCAUAGUCCUUGUCUCCUUUACCACACUUUCUUCCGCCGCUUCAUUCCCGACUACUGUCACUGACAUCGAUGGCGCACCCCUCCGCUCGGGCCGCAAGUACUUCAUCCUCCCAUCCGUCUCCGGGGACGGGGGCGGACUAGCUCUAGGAAGAAGAACCGAUACAAAGAAAUGCCCGCUCUCCGUCAUCCAGGACGACUACGAGCUCUCCAAGGGUAUUCCGGUAGUUUUCCUGCCCAUCAACUCAAAGCCGGGCUACACCGUUCGAACUGACACCGAUCUCAACAUCGAGUUCACUACAGAGACGGCAUGUGACGAAGCCCCCGUGUGGAAGGUGGAGAGUUAUGACCAUGACGUCAGCCAGUGGUUCAUUGGCACCGGUGGUAUCGAAGGAAAGCCCGGUCCGAGGACUGUGGAUAACUGGUUUAAGAUUGACAAUUACGGCGGGAACUACAAGCUCGUGUACUGCCCUUCUGUGUGCAAGACUUGCAAGGUUCAGUGUAAGGAUGUCGGGGUUUACGUGGAUGAAUAUGGCAAGAAGAGGCUUGCUCUUACUGACGAUGAGCCUUCCAUUGUUAAGUUCAUGAAAGCUCCCAAAUAGGGUGUGUACCACACUAUAGUAUUACUUCAGAUAUUACUGCUAAUGUAUAAGAAUAAGAGAUGAGUACAAGCUCACCAAGUAAAAUGGUUUGUUCUUAAGAAUCAUCAGCAUCACUGAAAAUUCACUUUGAACCAGAGAGAAACAAAUAUGGAGCAAAUGAUAGGAAAUGACUUUAAACAGCUUCUGCAGGAUUGAAUAUACAAAAUAACCAGCAACUAUAAGUUCGACAUCACAGGUUAGACAUCAAUUCAGCAGUUGGAUGCUUAAUGCCCACAGAUGGGUUUAAGCAAACACAAGUUCUGCAAAAUCUACUAUCGGUACGAGAUGAAAAGAACUCCAAGCAUUCUUUCACAAAAGAGCCUCCUACCAAAAUGCAGCCUAGUCCUAAUAGUUCAGCCUAGCAUUAUCUACAUCACCAUAAUCCAUACACCGUCUGCUUCAAGAAUCAGCAAGUGCCUUGUCAAUUGCUUCAGCGUGAUCCUUCAGGGUCUUCCACUGCAGAAAACGACGAGAAGAAGCUCAGAAAAAUAAUAAGCCAAACCAGCCAAACUGAUGCUAGAAAUAUAGUAAAAGGCUGGGGAGGGAUGAUAGUUAGUUUGAGAUGCUACCUGAUCCACGCUCAGAGAUAUGCCUGCAAAUGGAGGAGGAAGCAUUUAGACUCGGAAUCAAAACCCAAGUGAGGAACAUAUAUACAGCAAGGAAACAGGACGAGCAUGAGAUGCUUGAAAAUUUUGUAAUGAAGCAAAAUCUUUUGGUGUUAGGCAGUGUAAAUGGAAGCAGUAGAUUCUGAAAACGUGAUACAUGUUUUAAAUAAGUAGUUGGUCAUUGGAUGUAUCAUAAGACAUCUAACUCCGUGAAAGAUGCAAACCGAGUUAGUUGGAGUUUUCAUGAACAGGAUGAGAUUGAUAAUCCAAAGAAGCCUUGCUAGUUGGCUUUAAUGUAAUGGAAGGCGCUAUAUCUACCUGAAACACGUUCUAACUCUUAAAUUCAACAUCUACAAAUUCUAAUACUUUGAUGGCCUGUAUGGCAAAAGCAAGAUUGUAACACUAACAGAUGAGAACCCAACUAAACAAAUCUUCAAGCCUGAAGAACAUACCAACCUUGAAAGCUUUUACAAAGAUAAAGAUCCAAAAUCAAUGAACAGAACACCACAACACAUCAAAGAGUACCAAAGAACACCAAAACACAUCAAGGUAGAAGAAAAACUCUAGAGAUACCUUUCUUCCCAGGGAGCUGCUUCCCAUCCUUGGUGUAGAACUCACGAAUGUCCACCCAUACCUUUCCCUGCCAGUUCCUCACUUUCACUCUCCUGUUGUGAGAUAUCUACAGAAAAACAUCCAUAAAACCAGUUCAAAACAUUUGGAAACAAAAAAAGAUACCUCACAGUCUAGAAAGCCUAGAAUUACCAACAUCAAAGCAAAACAAAAUUCCUGUCACUAAAUAUACGUUCAGCACGAAAUUAAUUUUAACUAGACCUACAUCGCAAACCACGAUUUCGUCAGAAUCUUCCGAGGCAUCAGCUUUGGAAGCUUUCUUUGGAGCAGGAGCACGGCUGUCCUCGUCGGACGCAUUCUCUUCCACCUCCUUCCGCUUGUAUCUUCCAGACAUUGUUCCGAUGCUUUCUUCUUCAAAAAGCCUGCAAGCAACAGACGUGUGUUCCGGUUAAGGCUUUCUGUAGAGCAGAGAACAAAGGAAAGACUACCAUGAUGACAUUCAGCAUAGAAGAUUAGAGGGAACAAACUCGUUGAAGACCUGCAAAUACCUUCAGAGCUUGAAUCGCUUCUCACCCAACUUCUUCGCCGUGUGGAGGAAAUGGAAGAGACCACUGAUGGGGUUCACCGUAAGACAAUGAAGACCGGUGAAGUUGAAGAGUUUUAGGGCUUGGCUUAUAUAAUUGAAUAAAUUUGACUUAAAAAAAUAGCGAUAAAUAAAAUAAAUAAUUGAAAAAAGACAACAGAUUUCCUUUCCCAGCCAACGAAUCACCAAUUCAGCACUACCCAAAACGGAAAGACUCGUCCUUUUGCCCGCGAUGAACACCGUUGCUUCCAAGGUCGCCGUGGUUGGAAGUGGAAGUACGUUCAAAUUUGUUCCCUUUUUCUUCUGUUUGUCGUCAUAUUUGUUUUGUGGCUAAUGGUGAAAAUACCGACGGUGACAGUAUCAGGAGCAGUAUGUGCAUCCACUCUGGCCAAACAUGGCAUCUCGGUUACCCUUUUCGACUCCGCAAGAGGCCCCGGUGGCCGCAUGUCUCGCAGAAGGCAAACAUUCUUCCACUUUCUGCUCUUGACCCUUUGCCAUUUUUUUCAAGCUGCUCCUGAUUUGGUUUACUGCUCAAUAGGGAAAUUUGUGAAGAUGGGAAGGAGCUGUUAUUUGACCAUGGAGCUCCCUUCUUCUGUGCAACUAACAAUGAUGUGUUGAACCUUGUUCAUGAAUGGGAAUCAAAAGGCCUUGUGGCUGAGUGGAAGCACAGCUUUGGGGAUUUUGAUUUUGGCUCCAAAGGGUUCCUUAACAUUGAAAAGGUACGUCUGAUAUCUUAUUUUCCCUCUUUGGGAUGAUUCUGCUGCCAUUUUAGAGUACGUGUGUUGCUUGAUUGCCUUUAUGAAUUAGGAUAUAACCAAUUUCUGCAUCAAGUUCCUCAGAAACUUGUGUUGUUGAUAAUUUGAAACAAUAUAGACCUUACAGUACUUGCUAAAUGUGAUAAAGGUAGCUUCUUUUCCAUUCUAAUGUAUAGUUAUGAUUAUCUUGAAAUUUGUGUUCUGUAGGAAUACACGGCCAAGAGAUAUGUUAGUGUGCCAGGCAUGAACUCUAUAUGUAGAGCUUUGAGCAAUGAAACUGGUAAUGUCAAUAUCUGUGUUGCUUUCUGUUGCAGUGCCCUAGUCCAAGUUCUUAAUGAACUUAUUAUGCGGGUACAGGUGUGGAGAGUAAGUUUGGUGUUGGAGUUGGAAAGAUAGAAUGGUUAGACGACGAGAAAUCGUGGUCACUGACCAGCUCUGGUGGCCAAGCACUUGGUCAUUUUAAGGGAGUGGUAGCAUCUGACAAAAACAUUGCUUCAUCAAGAUAUACUGAGGUGACUGGAUUUCCGCCACCCCUUGGUAUGAUCAUUCUAUUUCUAGAACGUCCUUCCUUAUCUUUUCUGCAACAAAAGCCAGUAUUUUCCAGAGAUGCACUUGUAUCUGAUAAGCUCACUCAGUCAGUAUUGCUUGAUGGCUUUGAUUCUGUCAUAUGCUAGUCAGUAAGAAAUUGCUCAUCACAGAUGAAGAUAAACGUUGAUUUAAUGAAAGUCGUAUUACUUAUCUCCUGCAUGUGAGACUGAAUUGAUUGAUGCUAGAUCAAUACGAACUUUAGGAGUUGGAAAUGAUGCUAUAUUUCAUAGUUGGAGAUAACUUGUUAUAAGAAAGUUUGUAUGAUUGUUUAUUCGAUCUGAGCUGAUCUCUUGAUGUCAGCAUAUAAUAUCCAGAUCUCAUCUUAACUAUGAAGGUAUUUGUGAUUCUUUUCAGAUCUAAAUUUUUCUCCUGAGUUGGCAGUCAAGUUACUGGACAUUCCUGUCAAUCCAUGUUUUUCAGUGAUGCUGGCUUUCACAGAGCCUUUGUCAUCAGUAAGUCAAUUUGAUGCAUCCCAUUGUUGUGAGGUUCAGUUCUAACAUCGUUGCUUAGCGUCUGCUUGAAAGUAGAAAACUUUAUAACUUGGGUAGUCCAUGAAUUGCUGUCCAACUGAUGGGAAGUCUGCUGGUAAUGAUUUCAGAUACCUGUAAAGGGCAUAGCUUUCAGAAACUCGGACGUCUUGAGUUGGGGUUACUGUGACAGCAGCAAACCCUCACGUCCAACCACAAGGUUUCCUAGAUCUUGCUUGCUUUACCGCCAAGUAACUGUCUUAAUACACUUUUUAACUCGAAUCAUCAUCAUGUGUCUGUUACGACAGCGAAAGAUGGGUGCUUUAUUCGACUGCCAAGUACGCAAGGAACGUAAUUUCUGAGACAGGACUCAAGAAGCUUUCAAGUGAAGCAUUGAACAAAGUUGCAGAAGAAGUGCUGUCGGAAUUUCAAAGCACCGGACUUUGUAUCCCUCGCCCUUUCUUCAAGAGAGCUCAUCGUUGGUUAGUAUGUUUUGACAUUGAUCUGUCGUCAUAAGCUCCAUGGCCAUCUGAAAUUGCUUUUUUUUUCUUGACAGGGGAAGUGCUUUCCCGGCUGCAAGCGUAGCUGGAGAAGAGAAAUGCUUGUGGAGUGGGGAGAGGAAAGUGGCGAUUUGCGGAGACUUUUGUGUCAGUCCAAAUGUGGAAGGUGCAAUACUCAGUGGGGUUGCUGCUGCUUCAAAGCUUUCAGCUUCACUUCUCAGCUGUUCUUCAAAGUGCUAAGGUUUUAAGUAUAAGAAGUGCAAAUUCGAGGUGUUUGCAAUUCUUCAUAUCCUUGAUCCAUUGUAUGAAUGCAGUUCUUUAAGGGGUCGUUUGGAUGAUCUUGCUUGAAAUAUAUGAAUUUUAAAUGAAAAGAAAUUCAAAAUGCAACAAUUCGAUACAUGAUAGAUUGAUAAUUAUGUGAGUAUUUCACCCCAUUUCCAAUACAGUUUUUACUUUCAAAUCAACCGGUCAAUAAUUAGUGGUCUUAAAAUCCGCCCGCUUGCUGCUUCGACGGACCAAUAUAAUGGCUUGGUUCGGAGGGGCCUAAUGGUGCCGCCCAAGCAAAGAGAGAGUAGCAAGAAAGAAUACACGGUUAAGAAAUAAAUGUUCGGAUUUGGUUUUGACGUUCUUUUUCUAAUGUACUUUAUUCAUUUGUAUUUUGUAACAGUUCAAAUUAAAAAAAAACACCAUAAUAAAGAUCAAAUGGGAAAAUAAUAAAUAAAAUAAGUGGACCCCGCAAUCAACGAGACAUUCAAAGCAUCUCCUCUGGUAUCCGCCCAAGCUUCCAGUGGCAGUUUCAAGUCUGCUCCAAAUUCUACAGCUGCCGCGAAAUCAAAUCUCCAAUCUCCGGGCAAGUGAUUCUUCAGAACCCGCUCCUAAUCUACAGCAAACCGCCAAAACUUCUCUCCUUCUGAAGUUUGAUUCUCUCUCUAAGCUCGGGGUAGUAUGCGAACUUGCAAGCGGGAACGCACUAGCGCCGCCGCCGCUCAUGGAGAAGGAGGAGGUGAAGAGCGGGUUCUUAGGAAUACUAAGCAGGAGCGAGUCCGAGCUAACUUGCGUGCGGCCCGGGAGGAAGGCGAGGAGCCUGAGCAAGGCGUUGAGGAAAGGAGAAUCCUUCGAUUUAAGUAUCGCGCCUUACAAACUAGGAUCAACGGUACAACAUCUUCUCCUUCUUCUUGUUCUUCGACUUCAUCCUCAAACCUUGAUUCUUUCGUUUAUUUGAGUCUUUCUAAUGGUUGCAGAGGAGAGGGAUGAUCUGACGAAUGUCGAUUCCGAUAAGUUCGGCUCGUUUAUGAAGGAGGUUGAUGAUUUGCACCAAUACGGUAACUACUCCCUAUCCCUAAUUCAAAAGAAGAUCUCACUUUUCUAAACUGAUUCCUUGAUGAAUUGGCUCAGUAAUGUUUGAAUAUCCACAACUGUAUAUUCUUUUCAGUUCAGAAGCCAAGGGAGCAGGUUGCUGAUGCAGAGGCAUUGUUGGGGCUAACUUCCUCAUUAGUUUCCUCUGUUAAGUCACAAUCUGCUGACGGUGUUACAGUUGGAGGACUUAUCGCUCAAUUGAAGAAUGCCUUUGGGCAACCUGCAACUGGUUUAGAUGAUCAGGAAAAUGUCCCGAUUUCAGUCAAUUGGAAGGAGAUUGGGCUCUUUGUUUCGCCUAUAUUUAAGAACUUCAGAGGGUUUACCACCAUGUGAGAGCUUGCUCUUAUUGUUUGCUUAUUGUUUGCUCUUACGUGACUUCUAUCUGGAUUGUGUUGGUUUUCUGGUGUUUGAUAUUUGAAUCCGUGGUUCUGCUUACAAAGGUUGGGGCCAAUGGAUACUGAGAUCAAACUAAGGAAGCACAAUGUAACUCAGAGGACCCGAACGAAGCCUGGUCAGAGUACACGUCCAGAAGAAGUAAUGUUUGAUUCCUUCUUUGACUCUUUACUUCCAUGUUUGUCUGGUUAAAUAUCUGAAGGUGGCGUUUUUGGACAACCUGUCAAUUGACAUUCAAAUGAACGACUUUGAAUUGGGUAGUGUCUAAAUGAUGCUACUUGGUCUUUGAUAUAUCCAUUGAACAAAGUUUCUGAUACUUGCUUUGUCUGCUUAGGUUAAUAAUGCUGGAGCUGAAGAGAGAACUGAUACUGAUAAAAACAUGGCAACCAUGUUUGGGGUCUUGAGGAGCAAGAAACGUGUAAGGCUCGAAAGUUUGAUCUUGAAUAGGAGAUCUUUUGCCCAGACUGUGGAGAACCUGUUUGCACUUUCUUUCUUAGUGAAAGAUGGCCGGGUUGAAAUUGUUGUGGACGACAAUAACACUCAUUUUGUCUGUAAGUUAUAAAACUCCAUUGAUGCUGAAACUCCUUUGUUAUCUGUUUUGUGUUGCUUUUGUAACUUCUUUCCUCUUUUGUUCAGUGCCAAGGAAUGCCCCAGCUGCUGAUUCUGUUGUCUCAAAGGAGGUUGCAUAUAGACACUUUGUAUUCAGAUUUGACUUCCAAGACUGGAAGGUAAAGUUUGCAAAUUCCAUGGAAACAUUCUGGGGUGCUUUCAAGGUUAUAAACUUGUGAUAUGAUUUCAAUAUCCUUAAUAUGCCUUUCUCUUAACUAUGGAUUUGCAGUCUAUGCUCAAUGGGGUACCUGAUGGCGAAGAACUGAUGCCAGACCGAGAUACCAAAACUCCUGCUGCAAUGGACACUGGUGCUGCCAGCACUCAACGUGCACAACCACGAGCUGCAAUGGACCCUGGUCCUUCCAACUAUCAAGGUGCACAACCACGAACACCGAUACGUAAACUGACAAGGAACCGUGGGUUCGUUGUACAGAAUGAAACAGUCGAGGAGACUCCUGAAGAAGAUGAUGAUGACGGUCUUCUUAGGAGAACUGGCGUCAAUCGAUGCAAGCGUAGGCUUGUUUAAGGGGUGUGGUCUUGCAACAAAUGUGCAUGCCACUGGAUUUUGUGUGUGUGUAUAUAUGUACAAUGGUAGUGUUUGACCAAAGUUUAGAUCUUUUGGUAGUUGGUGAUAUUGGCUCCCUCGGCUCUUAGUAAUCGAUUAGGUCUGGAUUCGGUAUCCAACUAGGAAAUGUUCAAUCAUAGCCAUCUUUGUUACUACAUCGGUCAUGAUGUAGGUUCAAUUUCUGUAAACUGUUACAGAAUUGUGGCUGGAAAAAUGUAUUGUUUCAUGCUUGAACCGAAUCGGCUUGAUGACCAGUUCAUGAUUAAACUGGUCUUAAGUUCUCUUGUAUGUCAUUCUCUUAUGCAACCUUUCCUCUUUCACUUAACCUUCACUGAAUGUCUGAUAUUGCAAUCUUCUUGGGAGGUCUACGAGUUCAUGAACAAGCUGAUUUGAUGGAAAGAAGUUUGCUCAAUUAAACAUAUAAGAUGAAACUGAUACAGUUUUAUUCAAAGGUAUCAUCAAUUUCCAGGAACCAUGAAGUGAAAUGAGCUACCUAAGCAGGAUCAUCAUUGAGAUGGUUAAAGUUUCUUGCAACAGAAAUGGAUGGUUAGAUAGUUGGUGCUAUGUGAAAGCGGAAGAAACCUUCCAAACCAUUCACAUAACUUGAAGCAGAAGAAGAUUGGGGUGGAACAAACAUGGAUUGCUAUAUUAAGAACCCUAACAUUGAAUUGAACUCUUGAUUAAAAAAAUUUUGGUGGUGAGACUUCCAUUUCUGCAGUAUGGCUGACAGCCUGCGACUUUGUAGGAUUAUUAUUUUGAUGGUAAUAAAAAAGAGAAUGUUCCUGCCCGGGAUCGAACCGGAGACCUUUUGCGUGUAAAGCAAACGUGAUAACCACUACACCACAGAAACAUUUGAUGAACACAAUCCAAGUUAGCUACUAGAAAAACGUAACAUUGUUUAGCAAUUAGUCAGGGAUAUCCAUAAGUAUUACAUCCAAUCACAUUUCAUGACUGCUCGCUUCGGAGGUGGCUCGCUUCUUUUCAUUAGCGGUUUGAGAUAUCUAAGUGGGAAAUCUGCUUCAUAAUUAUUUAGAUUUAUUUCAUUCUCUUACUUUCAUUGUUCUUUUUCAUCUUUCUCGUCAGGAAAAUAGAGCUCCCCAUUUAAUAACAUGAAAAACUUUUUGUAUUUCCUAAUUGUGUAUGUAGAUUCUUAAGUUUACGUUAUUGCAUUAGCUUAUUUAUUUAAGUAGACUCACAGUUUCGCUCAGUAAAAAAGCUUCUUUCUUCUAUUAUAUUAAUAAAGUGCUCGCGGCCAACCUAUGGGCUUUAAAGGGAUAGGGGAAGGGAAGAAAACAAAGACGGUCACUCCUUUUAGAAACAUGGCUCGUUCAUUCACUUGCUCAUGAACUCGACGUUUCGCCAGAAGCGACGAAGGGGGACUGGGGACGACGACUGCAUGACAUGAGGGGAAAGCUGUCUACGAAGCUUUUGUAUUUUGUUAUCUUAUUUGUGUACCAAGAACUAAUACCUACGAAAACAAAUAGAUCGAUCUAUUAUACUGGUUGACAUCUUACAAUCCAUACAAAAGUCAAAUGAAACUCGACAUCCAAAUCUGCCUCAAUUCCACGUAUUUUUUUAUUACUGAUAGAUACUUCCUCUCCAUGGAUUCAAAUCCCCUUAUAAGAUCAGCAAAAGCAAUCAUCAUUACCCAGAAAAAGUUCACUACCGUUCUGGUAUUCUCAUGCUUGCUAGUCAGAAGAAAACCAGAGGCUUAGAAGGACAAAGAACACGCAUCUACUACCUCUAAUCUAGAUUCCACCACAAAGAAAAAGAAAACAAAGGGACAAGAUUCAAAGCACAUCCCAAAAUGCCUAAACUUUUCAUGCUCUUCCAAAAACCUGAUGUUCAUCUGCUCCAGCUUGAUGAUCAUCUCCCUGCUGCACUUCCACAAUCUCAGCCUCUUUGCCAUGACCAUAAUCCAGACUGAUCGGUUGGUACCACUUCGCACAGCCUAGAUAAAUUACGAAAUCAACGAGCGUGAAAGCUGCAAUCGUUCCAUAGUACAAAUCCAUCCGACCCUCAUUCAAAUCUUCAGGGAUCCACCCUGGAUUCUCCCCUCUUGCAGUUAUGAUCAUCACCAUGUUCACAAGCAAGCUGCUGACGUAGUUCCCCAAAGAGAUCGAAGCCAUGCAGAGCGAGCUUCCGAAGCUCUUGAUCCCGUCCGGAGCCUGCCCGUUGAAGAAUUCCAACUGACCCACGUACAUGAAAACUUCAGAACAACCGACAAGUGCGUACUGUGGGAUCUGCCAGAACACGCUCAGCUUGCUGACCUUUUCCCCAUGGCUGACGUUCUUCAGCCUGAACACCUCGGUGAUUGCUGCAGCGAUCAUGGCGAACAUUCCGAUGAUUAGCCCGACUCCCAUCCUCUGCAACUCGGUUAGUCCCUUGGGAUUUCCGCUCAGCGUCUCGGCUGUUGGGACGAGCACCUGGCGGUAGAUUCCCGUGCAGAUUAGCACGGAGCAGAUGUCGAAUGCUGACAUGCUCGCUGCUGGGAGGCGGAAGUUCCCAAUGGUGGUGUUCAUCACAUCCCCUUGCUCCACGAAGAACGACGCCAUUUGAGUGAAAACCACUGAGUAGAUGAUUGUGCAGAGCCAAAUUGGCAGCAUUUUCAGCACACAUUUGGCUUCCUCAACCUGUGUCACUGUGCAUAGCCUCCAUGGAUGCCUCUCCGCUGGAUUCUCGCCUUCUGUGAUCGUUGCUGCUUUGUCUAAGCUCCUGCAUAAUUUUAAUUAAUCAAUUUCCACAAUGUAAUGAGUAACUAGCUUGGGUUUCAGCUUCAUUAAGACAAUAACCAAUCAAUCGAUUCAAUCAGAUUCCAAAUCGGCUUGCUCGAGUUCACUGCAUAGUUCAUGUAACCAAUUGCACAAUGUUAUAAUAACUUUAAUAACCAAUCAGUCAAUCCAUUGAAUCAGAUUUUCGAGUGGCUUACUCGAAUUCAUUGCUGUGAUUGAUCUUCCGGCUGCCUUUGAUCGCCGAUUCGGUCCCUUCAACCUCGUAAAGCAAUUCAGGACUAACAGACGGGGCCUUCCGCUUCCUGAUGGCGGCGACGAAGACUUGUGCGACGCGUGGCAAAGGAUUGCCGCAGGGCUUGAUGUAGCGGUAGAAAGGCAUGCCGACGAGGUAAAGCACGAGCGCGAGGACAGCAGCGCCGAGGGAGGCGAUGAAGCCGAUGGUCCAUUUUCCGGUGUCCUCGUAGUAGACGAUGACGGUGUUGGAGAUUAGCGAGCCGCAGUUGAGGGCGAAGUAGAAGUAGCAGAAGAAAGCAGCCCUCGCGUCUAGCGUGCUGGGGUUCGACUCGUCGAACUGGUCCGCUCCGAAAGUUGCCAGAGUCGGCUGGUGGCCGCCAUAGCCUAGAGCUACUAAGUAGAUCGCGAGCGUGAAGAUAGCGGAGCCCGGGUUUGUUGCUGGGUUGCAGUCCAGAAAUCCGUCUCCGCAGUUGUUGGGCUUUAUCAGGUAUACUCCUGAUGAUACUGUGACCAGUAUCAGACCCUGCGCGCCAAAUAACAGGAUUUCUGUCAGGAAUUCUAGGGCGGUUUGUAACUCGACUCGAUUUUAAAUGUGUCAAUUUCGAGUUAGGGUAUGCUCGACUUGAUAGACUCGCAAGCUGGCUUGAGCUUGAGAGACAACUCGCAUGCUAGCUCGAGUAUAUGGCUCGUUAGUAGACUAAAUAAUGCAAGAUAUACUUUUCAUUGAAUAUUAUACAACAAAUCAUAUCUGGUGUGCGAAAUUGUAAUGAAAAAAUAAAUGAGUCAUUGUUGAUUUAACUAUUUGAAAUGAGAAAUGAGAAAACUUAUACAUUUUAAAAUAGUAUGUCCUUUUAGUUUGAUUUGUCAAUAUUUUGUGUAAAAAAUUAAAAUUUAGCUCAAAUUAUAUUCAUGAGAGAGAUUUUAAUAGCUCGAACUUGAUUCGUCAAGGAUAAUUAACGAGCCAUAUUCAAAUAGUCUGAACUCGCCUAAAAUAUAAAGAGCCAAAUUUAAACAACAUAAAGUUAGGCUCUUCUCAGCUUGAUUUGUCAACCAGUACGUACCACAACGAACACGGCCUGGAAGAUGCCGCAGGUGUUGAAGCGGCCCCAGUAAGAGUCGCUGAGGAAAGCUCCUAAGAGGGAGAAAAGGUAGACAGUUCCAGUCCAGAUGCUGACAUCAUUUGCAGCGUCCGCAUUGCUUCUCCCCAUCACUCUCGCCAAGAACAGCACCAGAUUUACCCCUACUCCGAAGAACGCCAGCGUCGCCAGCGCUUGAUUCGCUGCAGUACACCAUAGUAAUCAUGUACAUACUCAUGUUACAAAACAACUCAAAAUCUUGUAUAAUAGAAAGGAAUUUGAGAUGCAUGCAUAUAUACCUAGCAAUAGGAAUGCAGCUACCCAACCACCUCUGCCCCUGGCAACAAUGGGAGAGGUUUGGUUGUCGACAUUCUCGACAGAAGUUGCGGUAGCAGAGACCACCACAUGACUUGUUUCUUGUUGAAUUCGAUCCUCCUGGUGAGCUUGGGUGCUUCCAUGGUUAUGCUCCAUUUUGGUUCACUCUCACUUCCACUCGCCUACUGAUGAUAAUUCAAUUAAACAAAAAAAAAUCAAUUCUGUUCAAUACCCAUAUACUAAUCAUUUCACUCGAGUAAAUGUUCAUUACAAAAUAGAAUAAAUCCAUUCAAAAAUCAUUAAAAGCUUUAUAAUUUCAGUCUAUCAAAAUCACCAAACAAUACAAAUCGAAUCAUGUCACCUUAAACAAAUCACAUCCUUUUCAAUCUAGUUAUCACUACGGGGUUCAUGUUAUCAUUGAAGAAAUAUGGCAAUAGUGAACAUCACCCACCUCGGUAAACGCUGUUGUUUUGGGGAAGAUGAAUCAGGGGAAUUAAGAGAUCAAGAUGAAAUGUGUAUAUGUAUAAAGCUAGCUACUCCGGCGAAGGCGAGGAUCGAGGACAAAUUAGUAACAAGACAGAGGACUCCGGCGAAGGCGAAGAAGAUCGAGUAGCAGUGGAGAUGGAGAAGCGGCACCUGAUUGUAGGCCAGAAGAGAACGAGGAAUGUGACGGAAAAGCUAGACAAUGUGGACGAUAAUAAAUUUUUUUUCAUUUAUGAAUAGAAUCGGAGAAGAGAGGAACAAUUUAUUGUUCUGAAAAUUUUGACAAGAACAAACAGAGGAAUGAAAAUCUCAGGCGAUUCAGAGACGAUAAAUUAUGAAAUGAUGUGGUGCAGAUGAGUGAUGUGGUUAUUUAUAGAAAGGGAGGGCGGUGGAGAAGAAUUGGUCCACUUCUCCUCCUAUCACUUAGGAGUCGUCGUCGGUUGUAUAUAACCUUUUAUUCCUGAUUUUGCUUAUCACUUAUUCUGUUAAUUUUCUUUCUUUUUAUCCAUCUUCUUCUCGAUCUUCCAUAUUACAUAUCACCUCUUCAAUCUUCCCCCUUUCACUAUAACAGAUUCUAACUGACCCUACUUAUAUUUUUGUUGUUUUUAAUGAGAUGGAAAAAUGUAAUUUCUAACUAACAGAAACGUAUAAUUAUUUUUUAAUGUGAUCUUAUGUCGGAUAAAAUUUUAAAAAAAAUUAUGCAAACAUCAAAUUGUUAUUUGAAAAUUCGUGCUAAUACCUCUGAAGGACCAAAUCACUAAUUCAACAACUUAUACCAUCGCUAUCAAGUGGAUGGGAUGAGUUUUUGUAGAGGAUGCCCAUAUUUGAAAGCAUGAUGUUAUGUUAUAUUUGAUUGUUUGCACGUCACUUUAUAGCUUUUAAUAUAAGGCUAACAUAUGUAAUGGUAAUAUUCACAAUUUGAAAGGUCAUAGUGAUCGAUAUAUGUGACUGUUGGUUGAUUUUGUCGAUGAGAAAGAUAGGAUUUUGUUGGAGGCAAUUAUUAAAGUAAUUUAAACUAAGUUUGUAAUAUACGAAUUACGUAAAUUUAUAUAUAUAUUAAAAAAAAUCGAUCAUUAAGUAAAACACAAACCAUGUAUAAAAAAUUUCCGAAAAAAGUCUAAUAAUUCCAAGUUGGAUUAUUUAUGUAAAUAUUUAUCUCGGUAGGAGAAGGUAGAAUAUUCAAAUUUAGAUGACUAUACUAUAGUGCAGAUAAACAUUAACCCACCAGUCCUUGAGAUCAUUUUCACCUCAACUGCCUGCCAGCUGCACUAUCUCAUCGGUCGGUCUGCGCCUUUUCUUCUUCUUCUUCUUCUUCUUCUUCUUCCAUUUUCCCCUCCCCCCGCCCAAUUUCUUCCUUCUCAGGAACCCUAACCCUAAGUUUUUCCAUUUCUCCUGCGAUUCGCUUUGCCUCAUUCUGAUCCUCUACCUCUGUUUGCCUGUUCUUUGUAAUCGAAACCUCCCUUUCAUCUUACGAACCAAUUCCACCUUUUUGUGUUCAUUUCUUUUUUUUUUCUUUUUCCUUCAUACGUUUUGAAUAAAAUUUUGUAUUUCUCAACCAUGGCCAGCUCGAACUCACUAUAAUGACAAUCAUAGACUCUCUAGGGUUUUUCCUGCUUCUAGGGCACCAUCAACAAUUGCAUGGGAAUGAGCGAUGCCUAAGCUCCGCAGAGGUGUAGCAAGAGGUCGCGCAGGGUUAGCGCCUGGAGGCAACAACAAACAAUCGGAGCCUCCUGCCGCUGCCAGAGAGGGCAAUCAGAGGCCGAGGACGAGGUUGGAGUCGAAGCGAUUGAAGGAGAAGGAAGAGCAGGAGGAUAAUAGAAGGGAGGUUGUUGUGAUAUCGGAUAGAGAAGAGAGUAAGAGAAUAGUAAAAGUCGGUAGUUUGGUUCCUGUUGUUGACCUUGAAGCGGGAGAAAAAGAGGUUAGAGUUGGCGGAAUGGCUGACGAUAGUGGUGGCUUGAGUGCUAAUAAUGCCGCCGGGCAGGAAGAAGAAGGGACUGCGACUCCUUUCCCUGAAAGAGUACGUAUUCAAGGAUGAGUUUAGUCUCUAAAGGAGCUUGGUUUUGUUGAAUAUGCCGAUCUUUCUUAAACUUUUGAUUGCGUGUAAAUAUUUCGUCUGAUGACUUAUCUGUCAUUUGUCGCCUCCUAGUCUCUUAGUUCAUCCAGUUUUACUAAAUUCAUUGUCCGUUGGUCAAUUUCCAGGUUCAAGUGGGAGGGUCACCAGUGUACAAGAUAGAAAGGAAGUUGGGUAAAGGUGGCUUUGGUCAAGUUUUUGUUGGUCGUCGUGUAACCGGUGGAAAUGAACGCGGGACAGGGGCUGGUGCUAUGGAGGUAAAGUCAAUGUAGCUAAUGCUGCACCCGAUUGGUAUGAUAUAAUGGAUUGCAUUGAACUUCCUUUUCCUCACUAUAUUUCUAAAAUCUCAGGUGGCCGUGAAGUUUGAACACAGAAAUAGCAAAGGCUGUAAUUAUGGUCCUCCUUAUGAAUGGCAAGUUUACAAGUAAGUUUCUCUUCGAUCUCUGCAGAAUUCUCCGGGAACUGAGCUAGAAAAAACACAAGACUUUUUAUUUUACAUUUGGUGCUCUUCUGUUUUGCAGCACCCUUGGUGGCAGUUAUGGGGUGCCCAGAGUGCAUUUUAAAGGAAGGCAUGGAGAUUAUUAUGUUAUGGUAUGGUCUACUCAGUUGGGAUUUCUUCACACUCCUGUAAGGUUUUAUGUCUACAGUUUGUAAACUUUUUCAGGUUAUGGAUAUGCUUGGCCCAAGCCUGUGGGAUGUUUGGAAUUCUUCUGGUCAAGCGUGAGUUGUUUGAGCAUUGAUACUCUGCUGUUUUCUUUUUCUCGUGUUUUAAUAAAACACUCAUUUAUUUUUAAAAAGUAGUCUGCUGUUUCCUAUGUAUUGGAUGGUUUAGUUUAGUGCUUGAAGUUCACUAUUUAACUCCGUAUGAUCUUGAGAGCAUUAACGUUCUCCCUCGUUAUGUGAUUUGUUCUUUAUCUCUUCUAUUUUCUAUAAUUGAAGGAUGUCUGCGGAAAUGGUAUCUUGUAUAGCUGUGGAGUCCCUUACCAUCUUAGACAAAAUGCACUCACGUGGGUAUGUACAUUCACGACAUCUGUUGUCUUGUAGUUUGUUCGUACCACUUUGGGUUGGAAUAGUUCGUAUCAGCUUUUACUUUCUGUUUUUGACUUUUGGGUUGUAUGCAUCUCUUAUGAUGUAGAUAUGUGCACGGGGAUGUAAAGCCAGAGAACUUCUUACUUGGUCAGCCAGCUACAGCACAGGAGAAGAAACUUUUUCUUGUGGACCUGGGAUUAGGUCAGUAGCUUCUGCUGUUUCUAUUAUAGCUUGUUGCUUUUGUACUCUUGAUGCUUAUUGGUAAGUGUUUCACAGCUACAAAGUGGAGAGACGGUAGCAGUGGGGAACAUGUCGAAUAUGACCAACGUCCUGAUAUGUUUCGGUGAGAAUUGGUGCUUCUUUGCUUGUUUUCUACUAGCAAUCUGCGUCCUUCAUUUAUUUAUUGAAGUGCUUGCAAUAAUAUUGAACUUAGGUCGGUCUGAUGAUUUCAUCCAACUUUUCUGUUAUCUGAGUUAAACUUCUUGCUGGUUGUUCUUCUGUAGGGGUACUGUGCGAUAUGCCAGCGUUCACGCUCAUUUGGGAAGGACAGCUAGUCGGAGAGAUGAUCUUGAAUCUCUGGCUUACACUCUGAUCUUCCUGCAUCGAGGCAGGUUGCCCUGGCAAGGCUAUCAGGUAUUUUCAGUUGAAUCCAAAUUCAUUGAAUAUAGGAAGCUGCAGUGCACCAAUGUGUGGGUUCAUGAAGCACAUAUAAGAAACUUUGUACUUAUGGAUCUUCUUCUUUGACGUUCUCUUUUUUUUUUCUUUUGUCUCUAGGGUGACAAUAAGUCCUUUCUAGUUUGCAAAAAGAAAAUGGCAACGUCUCCAGAGAUGCUGUGCUGCUUCUGUCCCCAACCUCUCAAGCAGUUUCUUGAGAUUGUGGUCAAUUUGAAAUUUGACGAGGAACCAAACUAUUCCAAGCUUAUAUCUCUAUUUGAGGGCUUGUUAGGGCCAAAUCCAGCAAUAAGGCCUAUAAACACAGAGGGGGCUCAAAAGGUAUUUAUUAUACUAUCAUCUCUAUGGUUUUUGGCAUGUUAUUGGUUCUAAUAAGAUGAUUGUCCUGUGUUAGAUUAUCUCUCAAGUUGGUCAGAAACGUGGUCGGUUAAAUAUGGAGGAGGAUGAUGGGCAACCAAGAAAGAAGGUUCGGCUUGGAGUUCCUGCUACACAAUGGAUUUCAAUUUAUAAUGCGAGGCGACCAAUGAAACAGAGGUAGAAACAAUUCCAUUGACUGUAUUCUUUCCCUGACUUUGUGUUCGAUGAUACUGACAGGUCUCAAUCAACUAUCGUGUCUUGCAAUUAGGUACCACUACAAUGUUGCUGAUGGAAGGUUGGCACAACAUGUGGAGAGAGGAAUUGCCGAUGGUCUUCUUAUAAGUUCUGUGGCGUCCUGUACGAAUCUUUGGGCAUUGAUUAUGGAUGCCGGAACCGGUUUUAGUAGUCAAGUUUAUGAACUGUCUCCCUUUUUCUUGCACAAGGUAAAUCUCUAGUACUUUAGUUUCUAGAAUGCAAACACGCGUGUCCAAAUUUCUGAUUUUCUAAACACAAUCGUCUUAUUUUAUUGUGAUAGGAGUGGAUUAUGGAACAAUGGGAGAAGAACUACUACAUUAGCUCAGUUGCUGGCUCGAAUAAUGGUAGCUCACUUGUAGUUAUGUCCAAAGGUUGGUUAGAUUUUGUUUGCAAGUUAUUUGAAUCUUGUAAAACUGUUCAAAUCUUUCCGAUUUUCAGAACUCUUUUACCUUCGUCUACUGUCAGUAUAUAUUUCUAGCUUGUGUUAUAUUGACACCUAAAUCGUUAAACCAUUAAUGAUGCAGGCACUCAAUACACUCAACAGUCUUACAAGGUCAGCGAUUCGUUCCCUUUCAAAUGGAUCAACAAGAAGUGGAAGGAAGGAUUUCAUGUGACCUCAAUGGCAACUGCUGGAUCCCGCUGGGGUAUCGUCAUGUCUCGUAAUGCCGGGUUCAGUGAUCAGGUGAAGUUUCUUUGACUGUAUUUUUCCAGCUGUCUUGUAUGGUUUCCCGGUCAGUUUACUGUCUAUAAGCCAACACACUACGUUUUGAACAGGUUGUGGAGCUUGAUUUCCUGUAUCCAAGUGAAGGCAUUCACCGUAGAUGGGACGGUGGGUUCCGAAUAACGUCAACAGCAGCUACAUCCGAUCAAACAGCUCUAAUUUUCAGUNNNNNNNNNNNNNNNNNNNNNNNNNNNNNNNNNNNNNNNNNNNNNNNNNNNNNNNNNNNNNNNNNNNNNNNNNNNNNNNNNNNNNNNNNNNNNNNNNNNNNNNNNNNNNNNNNNNNNNNNNNNNNNNNNNNNNNNNNNNNNNNNNNNNNNNNNNNNNNNNNNNNNNNNNNNNNNAGCCUGCUGCUGAUGGGGGGUGGAGCAGAGAGCGGUUUUUAUCGUAGGGUGGGUUUGCUGUGUACCCUGUAAUUGAGCUAUUCAAAUGAAUGAAUGGAUGAAUGAAUAUGCACGAUCCGACGUUCUGCAUGUAAUGGUACCAAUAUUGCUUAGAUGAUCAGUUGAAUCUGGAGCAUUCUCCUUUCAACUGAAUUAUAAGUAAUGUUAACAGAGUUUAAGGGAUCUUAUCUUUGCUUUUACUAAUGUUCUUGACACUACGGUUUUCGUAAUCGUAUCUGAUAACCUUGUCACUAGUCUUGUCUAUAAGUAAGGUUGUUUCGUGGGAGCCCAAAUUCGCUAGCACUAACCACGAAUCCACUAGUUCCGAUGCCGGCAAAGAAAGCCAUGUCACCAAGAUCACGCAGUGCUUUCCAUCUCACUGUACAUGCUAAAUACAUUGUACAUGCGUGUCGUCCACUCUUUGUCGCCGACUCGACAAUACGUCAUCAUAAACCCGUACCUAGGAAAGUCAUCCACCUUAAUCCGCCCAAAUAUCGUGACAGCUAAUCGUGAACCUCUAGAGGUUGGAUGAAUCACACAACAUGUUUUUAUGAAGCCUUUUGGUAUUUUCCACGUUGGCAACGCAUCCUUGGCCAUGGAUGACGUGUCCAGUAACGGCCACUCACCGAAUUCCACGUCCACCAAUGCCACCUUUCCAGAAGCAACUCCAUAGACUUGUUUUCCCAUUAAGCUUGCUUCCAUUUCAUCUCUAGUAUGGAAAGCACGGCCGGUUCCUCCUCUCGAACGGCAUGAAACGACACCUAAGUCGCGGAUACAAUGAAAUGGAUCAACAUCGUCGACGAUGAUGCCACCUUCUUCAAGGUCUGCCCAGAGAGGCGUUGGACUAGAAAGACGUUGAAACUUGGGUACCAUCCAAGUACAGUUCAAUGGAAGCUCCGUUGAUGUGUGUCCAUUCUAAAAGGGGUGCAAUUCUGUAGUCGACAGCGAGUAGUAGAUGUUGCAGGGUUCCAUGGAAUCUCGGCAAGUGAAUGGUGUUCUCCAAUCCCUUAGCUUGAAGCUCCUUGCACGAUAAAACCACGGACGAAGUGGGACUCAGAAGAGCCACUUGAUCUCCGAUGCUAUCAAGACUCUGCCACAGUUGAAGGACAUGAUUAUAUUUGAAAACCCGCACGAAGUCUGCUUCUGGUCCGACCACUACCGAAAUCAGCUCUCCCUUACUCGAUUCCAUCAAGUAAGCUACGUUGCGAAUAUGGCUGUAGAAAGCUGCACGACACUGGACAUCGAUUACUUUCCACAUGUUCCUCUUAUUCUCCUCCCUAGGGUCGAAAACCCCCAACCUCCGUUCUCGGCCUAAGCAGUAGAAAGCCCCUUUGUGAAAUGCCGGAGCUGAGCUAGAACCAUACCACUUGAAGUUCACCAUGCAAGUAAGUCUAAACUCGCUGCGAUUCGUCUUGAUUUUGCCAGCGACUAGUCGGGGUGGAUAGAAUCACAACGUUGCCUUGUUCGGAUACCCCGUGAAAUAUUCACAUAUAUCAAAGCUAUAGUCUUUCCACGAGCUAUCUCCCCGUCUUGUGAAAGAGAUGUACAUACAGGAAUAAUCAUCACUUUCCGUCCUCGAUCGAAGUGGUUUGACAUCAACAACGCGGAUAACCACACAAUCCGGGGAGGUGGGCGGGGCCGUAAAGCUCAUUGCAUUAAACGGUAGAUUAGUCACGGUGGAUGAUUUCUGCGGUGGUGGGGUUGAGGAAGAAAAAUCACGGUGGCCUCUGGAUAAGAGUAACCAGCCAUGGUUGCAGCUGUGGAUUUGUGUGUCACGGAGAGCGUCGUGGUGGAGGAAAUAGGUUUUGUUGUAGGGCGGAGAGUAGAGCUCGCAGUUAUUAUCGGGGCGGUGGCGAAGCAAGAAUGGGUGUUUGGCGAUUUCGUAUAUCAGUGAAGGGGCAGAGUUCCACUGACGACAAACUGCUCGGAACAUCGGGACAUCCUUCUCGAUCAGUUGCGACAGAAUCAAUUGCAGCAGUUCAGGGGAAAGGUCUGCCCACGACGGGGAUUGCAUCAUCUUCCGAUUUGACCUUUUCAGCUUUUCUUUCUGCAGAAACUAAUUGAAGUUAGGCUCAAGCAGAGAGCAAGAAGAAGAAGAACAAGGGUGAUAACUUGGAAGACAAGAAAGAACUUACCGAGGUAGAGACAAAGAUCUUGCAAACAGUUGGAAAGACAAUUAUAUUCUUUCUCCUUUUUAGAUUAGAAUUUCAAUCCUUUCUCCUUUUUAGAUUAGAAUUUCAAUCCUUUCUCCUUUCGGAUUUGCAAUUAUAUUCUUUUCUUUUUUCUGUUUAGGGUUUUGUCGAUCAUAAUUUACUUGCACUAAUCGUGACUCACUCUUACGCACCAGGCCCAGCCAAACGACACCCACUUCAAAAUUUCUGUCGACUAAACCAAGACGGAAAUAUCAACUGCAGCAAGGCUAAACUAAAUUCAACAAGAGUUAAAAUCAUCAACUGUAAAUAAUAAUUACCCACUUCAACAUUCUGGAUAAAUCAUCAGUUCCAACCUUCUCCCUGUAUUGAUACUUUCCAAAGCUGCAUUUUUUGUUAACUUAAAUCAGUUCAGCACAUUGUUUCAUACUCUUUUGCUCAUCUGAAAGAACAAUUCAGUAAAGCUUUCAUCUUCCGAUUUUCCAUGGCAUCCAGCUCCUCGAAUCUUCCAUCGUAGACAAUUGCAGAAACAUGCAGCACAAAAAGGACCCUUCUGCUUCAACUCGGCUUUACAGCACCUUCUCGUCCAGCUUUCGUGCGACUCAAGCAAAAGAGGGAAAGAUCCUUUUCAGCAGUUCAAUAGUUGCUUUUCCUCCGAAAUCUCCAAGCUUGUAGUGUUUGUGACUUUCUUAUGCAUGUGAUAUUUCUUAUUGUUCUUUCCAUAUACGCCCAGAGACUUUGAGCUUCAGUUCCUGCCUAUCCCCACCAGAAAAGAAGAGUGCCAAGUUUCUCUGGAUUAUCAAUCCAUCCUGGCUAUCUCUUACUUUCUUAUGGCUAUCGCGGAUGCUCCUUGGUAUUCCUUGCCAUGUCAGCUUUCUCCCGUUUCCGCCAACUUCUAAGCUGUAACUGAAUUGUCUUGCCUCCUCUUCAGUGCCCAUGAAUCUCAGGAAGGCCAUGUAAACCGGUGCCAUUCCCAGACGAAAUGCCUCAAAGUGUAAGCAGAAUUGUCGGCCGAAGCAAUUGAAGACCUGAAACCGGAACAUACAGAGGUUUAGGGUUUGCAUCAAUCUGCCUAAAUACCCGUUAUAUAACCAAAUAACUCGUUUGCAGCUUCUAAAUUUGGAACAAUAUGAAAUUUGGUUUAUAACGGGAAUGGAAUAAACGAAACCAUGCAUACUGAAGGGUAAGAAUCUCACAGUUAACAUCCAAGUGGCAUUGUCGAUUUCUUGGGGAUUGGACUUCACAUAUCUGUGAUUGAAGGUGCACCCAUCGUGCAUGUCAACCUUAUGAUCAUUUUUCAGAUGCGUGCCAAGCUGGGGAAUGUCACCGGUGAAUGAACAUUCAGCUCCGGCAUAAGGGCAACUAUAGGGACGGUAUUUGCAGCUCUUUUCAUGCCUUUGCUUGCUAUAGUACGGGAAUAUUUCAAAACACCCAAAGUUCUGGUAUUUACAAGGAACUUCGAGCGAUUCAGCAACUUUCUCGAGAGCCAAGCACCUUAUGUUGCCAAGUUCCCCACGACACGUCGGGCAAGAGUUGUGUACUCGGGCUUUGCAGUUCGAGCAAAGGGUGUGACCAUUAGGACACUGAGACAUCAGACACAAAUCAGUCACUACCAGCACGAAAUAGUUCAGAUUGCUAGUAGGAAGGUCAUAGAUGUUAAAAAUAGUAACUUUUAAAUGUACUUCUUCAGGGUUGUACAUAAAAUGCAUACCUGGUAAAUGGGAGGGUAGAUUAGAUUCAUGCAAACUGGACAUUCUAGCAAGUCCUGCACAUUUCCAGUUGACGAUGCCCCGAGACUUCCACCUAAUAUAGUGGCAGCUUUUCGAAAAGAGGAAGCACUUGACUCUGCAUUAAAUGUUACUGUAUCGCAAUCUGUGUAUGUUAUUCGAGACUCUAUCUCUUCUCUGCAGGUGAUUCCUCCCGGGGCCAUCUAGACUCUACUCAGGUACUAAUUCCUUCUGCUAUAUGCUCAACUCAGGCUUAAAACGAUGAUUUUCUGCCUUCAGCAAACCAAUUUAUGCUGUUAAACAAAAAACCUAAAGUUAACACUCCGGCAAAUACUAAAGUUAGGCACCAAAACAUUUUGUCAAUGAGAGCAAUAUCUGCGAUAGGAUGUUCAAAUUUCUACAUUAGUAGUCGAAAUCGCAAUAGAUAUACUAAGAGAAGACAAGAAAUACAACCACCAAAUGUUCCAUAUCUCUAGAUAGCAACAUGAUCUAAAAUUUCAACUCUAAAUUAAUGGAGCAUUGGAGCUCCUAUAACCCUCAGGCUCAAUUCACAAGUGAAAGGUCUGUAAAGAAAGAGGCAAGGGAAGCCAUGGAUGAGUAGAUUAAGUAAAAAACAAAACACUGCUAGUGUCAAUGACCUAGAGAUACUUGGUUCAUGAAUGAGUAGAUCAAGUAAAGGAAAACUGUCAAACUUCACGGACAGAAAUCAAUCGGGUCAACCAAAGUUCCAAUCUUUAAAGAACAGAUUCUGGCAUUCAACAUUUCCAAAUGUCAAACCCAGCAAUUGAGCUAAUCGAAAAGAAACAGAAAGAGAAGUAAAGCAGAAACACUGACCAGGAAAGAGCAUCGAAAGAUCAACAGCCAGUUGACGGAAUCGAGUCCAUGGAACCGAUCAAAAACCUUUCAAAAACAGAAAAAAUGACGAGAUAAGAUAGAUUUGCCAGGUUGAAGAAGAACAGGAGGAAUAAAAAUGAGCAAAUGAAAUAAAUAAAAAACCGCACAUUGAAUGGGAUUGGAAUUGAAUGUUCAAUCAAUCUGUCAUCGAUCGUUUACUUCAGUCCAGCAAUAAUUGCAUCAUCAUCACCAGCAUCGGCAUCAUUAAUGGCGGUGACGUGGCGGAGGAAAGAGUCGAAAACUUGUGGGUUGCGUAUCCGAAAGAGAGAAAAGGCUUAAGCUUUCUUGAUUUUGAUUCGACCCUUUUGAUUUAUCAGCGACGAAGAAGAAGAAGAAGGGACGUUGAUGAAGAACCAAAAGGAGUGAAAUUAAAGUAAGUAAAUAAAAUGAAAAAGAAAAAGAAGAGACAAAAAACAAGACGAAUCCGUCAAUCCACGUUACGACAUUUGUAGCUCUAGCUCAACACAUCUCUCUACAGCUCUGCAUGCACUCAAUCAUCAAUGGAAAUUAUUGUAUAAUUUAAUGGUGGUUGCUUAGAGUUGUUAUUAAUUGAUUUUUUAAAUUUGUCUUUUGUUCCUGUGUUUAAACUGUAUGCAGGCGACAGACUGAAGAAUCUCUAUGCUGAAUGCCGGAUUGAAGACAGUAGUUUCAAGCACGGUUGAAAGUUGAAACACACUUGUUCUUUGUUUUGAUGUUUGGCCAAAUUCAUCCAAACUUUAGUUGUGUCAUUUUGUAUGCCGGAAAAUCAGAGAAACCUGUAAUUUCUAAGUUCUAACCUAUGCGGUGGCUGUAUUUUGAUGUCGAUGACGACUAAUCCUGCAGGUUUAGCGGGAUUUUCAAUGUAGUUUUGUACAUCUUUAUAACUCGUAUUGAUCUAUACUGGAUCGAUUGCUAUGUUGAGUAUCGAUUCGUCUUCUUCUAAUAGGGCUUGAUCGAGUGUUCAUGCAUGAACCGAACAUAUUCAAACAUGCUCUUUUUAAUUGGUGUCAUGCAGGCACUUUGAAUUCUAAGAGCUAACUCUGUUAUAUUGAUGUUGAUGUGGACAUCACGUUUGCUAUUUCUCCGAUUAGUUGGCUAGAUUUUAUUUGUUUGUUAGUUUCAAUAGAAUAUUGAGAUUAAUCUGUAACUUGUAUAUAACUUGUUAUAAUGAUUGGGAUCAUCACAACAUAUUAAUCGAUAUUUCCGACUUAACAACGGUUUCAAACACACUCAUUUUACAAAGGAAAACUUGAUUAAUAAAUCUCUAUGUUUUUGCAUUCUUAUUUUUUCGUUUGUAAUUACAAUUCAUUCUCUACACUUCCCAUUAAUUUCUCUACUUCUUCCGUAGUCCUCUCUUCAAAAAUGCUUGGUGAGGUAUCCAUCUUUUCAACAAUUAACAAAUUCAGGAUAGAUCGUAAAAUUGAAUUCAAUCGAAAAGAAAAUAUAGAUAAUCAUAACCAAAAAACAAAACAAAAACAAAAACUUAAAAAGUCUUUUACUAAAAUACCAAUUGUACACUAUGGAUCUGAUCAUUUUUGUAGUUAAACCGAAAUCUUAUAUAUGGUGAACACUUUGAUAUUUUGAAAAUUCUAUAGUUCAGAAUUAAUUCAAUUAAANNNNNNNNNNNNNNNNNNNNNNNNNNNNNNNNNNNNNNNNNNNNNNNNNNNNNNNNNNNNNNNNNNAAGUUCGUUCAAGUAUGUAUAAAAUAAACACGAUUUCAUAACUGUAGAUCUAAAAAUGAGAUAGACCAGAGACAAAGAAUGAAAAGACCAUAUCCGAUUCAUAAUGACACAUCAUCAUCAUCAUCUAGUAGAGUACUCAACUCAACCAACACAUGCAAUGCUCCAAGUCUUUGUCUAACAGUCGGUUUCAACAAAGAAGCUUCCUUUGAUCUUCCAUUAAAAAUAGAAAAGAAAAUUACACAGAAGAAGAAGCUUCCUUUGGGUACAUCUAGCUAGUCAAACAUGCAUGUAAUAUUAUUUCCCAAUUGCACACUAUGGAGUUGACCAGACAUGACCUAGCAUCCAACGUAGGUGAUUUUUAUUGUGUUUGAAUUAUAUCUCGAGUUCCUAUGUUUGUUAAGUUAUGUAAACACAUAUGACAUAUGUAAUGUUUAUUUCUUUUUUUAAUUUCGUAUUGGUCGAAAAAAUUAUAUUUAGGUCUAAACUUAAGUGCUUAAUGGUUGUCUAAAAUAAUGGUCACAUAAAUCUGAAUAAAUAACCCACCGGUCAUUGAACUUUAAAAGUUUAUCCCUUAAGUAACCGAGCUUUGGACUUGAGGCGUGAGAAGAGUCAUAGCUAUCCUGAGGUACUCAUUUCGGAUUCUGCCUAAGUUUUCUCUUCGAUGACGAAGAAUAUUGACUGUUGGGCGGGAUGUAACCAUAUUAUGAGGUUGUUGUCGAGGGAGCUGGUUAUUAGCUCAUGUUGAGUGUAGUUGGUUUCGGUCUAGUAGGUUCAAUGCUAUUAUCUCCAUUUCGACUGUCUAGUCACUUAAGUAAUUCGACGGAAAAUUGAACGUCCGUAAACAAAAAUGAUCAUAAGGUUAUACAUCCAAAAUUCAGUUAGGCGAAAGAUCAUUUAACAAAACUUAUGACGCGAUGAAUCAUUCAUCCGAAUUUUAGUGACCUCCAACGUAAACAACCUGUAUAUAUACAAUCAUCAAUCUUUCAGCUAAAAAUAAUAAUAAUAAUAAUUUUUCAUAUAAUCCCUAAUUAUAAAUUGCGUGUUGUAUCGUAACAAGUCAAAGAGAGUCGGCUUAAUUGACCAAACACGUGACUGGUAUUUGCGUAUACAAGUCAUGACUUCUUCCUUACAUCUAUCUAUAUAUAAAUAACACCCAAUUCAAACCAGUUACGUACACAGUACACAGCAUCUUCAUUCUCCCAUCAAAUCAUCAAUCUCUCUGUCUUUCUCCUCACUUCAGCGAUCGAGAUAAACAUGGAGCUUCUGGGUCAAACAAUGGCAGCAGAUGUGUUGACCAAAGUCGGCAUCUUUAUACUCGUGCAGGCCUUGGUGUACCUCGUCCUCACAACUUCCUCCACCGUCUUCUCCAAGAACAUCAAGCGAUCUUUCAGCUUCAAGCCGGCUCGCUCCGUCAGCAUCCGCCGCAUGUUCGCCGCCAUCUCCGAUGUCCCCGCCGUUUCUGGUGCGAGCGUGAUGAUCGGAAGGACGGCUUCUUCUGCUUACGUUCGGCAGUCUGAUCCCAUUUUUGGGGAUGUUGGGUAUUGAUUAUAGUUUCUAAUCAGUAUUGGAUUGGAGUUGGAACUUAUUAAUUCUUUGUAAAUUAUGUACGGAGAACUAAGUUUGUUGUAAUAUUACUUCUUUAACUUAUAGCACGAGCCCAAUUCAAAUUUGUUCGUUUUCACGAUCGGAUUAAACAUUUUAACAAUUCAUGUCUAUUUGAUUAUAUAUGAGCUCAUUACUAAAGACGUAUGUGGUUCAAUUGUUCUGUACAUGGAGUGAAGAUUAAGUUGGCGAUUUAAUUUGCUGACAAAGUUUGUAAUGACUAGCCAUCAUUGGUUUUUUGCCGACGAAUCAUGUGUUGUAAAAUUUCGAGUAAAUCAUAUAUCAAUANNNNNNNNNNNNNNNNNNNNNNNNNNNNNNNNNNNNNNNNNNNNNNNNNNNNNNNACAUAUUUUAUUAUUAUUUUAUAUGUAGAAAUUUUUUGAAUUGAUAUAAAAACUUGUUUUUUAAGGAUUUAUGUUUUUAGUUCCACUAAAAUCCUUUUAAGAAUUAGUUAAAAUCUAAUUAAUUGGAAUUAGUUCGAGUAUAUAAUGAAUUAAUUUUUUUUACUAAAGACCAAUAUUAUAAAGUGGGUAGUGUAUGAACAACUCUACCAUAAAUAUAAUGUUAUCACAAAUAAUUACGAAUUUAACAAAAAAAUAUAGCUACUAAACCAUUUCAAAUUCGUUUUUUAAUAUCAAAUUUGUUCUUCAAUUAUUAAUUUUAGCAACUUUUGACGAAAGAAAUUCAAAACAGCUAAAAUGUCCUAAGUAUAAGAAUUACACAUGAAAUAUAAAAACUUCCUUCUAUUUAUCGUGGAACUAAUAAUCAUAUUAAAAAAAAUAGAUUAUAAUAAACUCUUUUUUACUUUUCGUAUUUCCGUUACGGUUCUCUGUUUGCAUCUAAUGAUUUUCUGCCAGUUUUUGUGAUAAAGCACAUCAAUGUCUGUGAUCACACACUUGGUCGCAACCAGGAACCACUGUAGACGAAUGUCGUCCGACCAGGCCUAGUUUCCACCACGUGGCAUCGAACUUUCCCCGCCGAACCCAUUUUAAAAACUGUUCGCACCCGCCUGCCCAGAAUUCGGGUCGGGCUCAAACUCCGUGGACCAGACCGAAAAGCAAAAUGGUCCUAUCCAGCGCCACCUUGGUUGGUGGAGGAGUCGCAUUUUGCUACUACCCAUCAUCAUCAUCGUCGUCGUCAUCACGACCAUCUUAUUUUCUUAUCCAUCGAACUAAUAAUCAGCCAACCCUGAAACCCAAAAGCAGAUUACUCGAGGAAGCCAAAAUGACUUCUUCUUCUUCCUCCAAAACACUGAGGAAGCUGGAGGUACUUUCUCCGGUCCCGGCUGACAUCGAUAUUGCCAACUCUGUCGAGCCUUUCCACAUUUCCGAGAUUGCCAGCGCCCUCAAUCUCCGGCCUAGCGAUUACGAUCUUUACGGCAAAUACAAAGCCAAGGUGAUUUCAAU